RNAcentral lists this long non-coding RNA (52015 nucleotides) under Sorghum bicolor (sorghum). RNAcentral's name for it is "long non-coding RNA (SBIC_LNC012693)". Lineage: Eukaryota; Viridiplantae; Streptophyta; Magnoliopsida; Poales; Poaceae. The record is from RNAcentral.
CUGGGGAUGACAACUUGGCUUAAGUGGUGUGAGGGAUAGGUUUGGCAUUUUUGGCACCGUUACUAGAUUUAGAGAACUUAGUCUACUUUUGGUAAUGAUGUUAAGAAUACCCAACAAGCAUUUUUGGCGCCGUUGCCGGGGAAGGUUGAUUACUAAUCAGGAAUGGAAUAAAAGAUUUUGAGUUAUCAUUCGCAUCACUAAUAUGAUUGAGCUUAUCUAUUCUCUCAUACAGUUUUACCCCGAUAUUUUCCUAUUUCAUCUUAUGCAGGGGAAUGUAUGAAUAGAAGACAUCUUCCAGAAAAUUUUGUUGACAAUCCCGAAGCAUUAUUCAAGAAGACGAGAGCCAAGCUAAAGAAAUCAUCAACACUUCAGCAAGAAGCUUCAUCCAAUCAAGAAGAUCACCGGAACUUGUCUUCAAAGUUUGAAGCCAUGGCGAACAAAUCAAUCCGCGAGUUCUUAGCUCCCACUACAGACAACAUCCGCACUGGACCUGCUGCAGAGAUCGAUGGCAACUUUGAGCUCAAGCCUGGACUUAUCAACAUGGUGCAAUCCAACCAGUUCUGUGGGAAGGCACACGAAGAUGCUAGUGCUCAUUUACAACACUUCCUGGAGAUUUGCAAUACAUUCACCAUAUCAGGAGUUUCCAAAGAUGCUAUACUACUUCGCCUCUUCCCAUUCUCACUCUUAGGAAGAGCGAAGCAGUGGUUCUACGCUACAAAGGAGAAGAAUACUACGUGGGCACUCUGCUCAACAAACUUUCUGGCAAAGUUCUUUCCCAUGGGCAAGACCAAUGCUUUUCGUGGGAAGAUUACAAGUUUUCAGCAACAAAAUGAUGAAUCUGUUCCAGAAGCAUGGGAGCGCUUUAAAGACUACAUCCUAGAAUGUCCCCAUCAUGGAAUGGAGAGUUGGCUAUUAAUGCAGACAUUUUAUCAUGGGCUCGGCAACAGUGCCCGAGAGACUAUGGAUGCUGCAGCUGGAGGAGCAUUCUUAUCACUUACAAUACCACAAGCCACAGCUCUUGUGGAGAAGAUGGCGUCCAACCAAAGCUGGAAUGAAGAGAGGACCCAGACACGCAAGAGAGGUGGAGGUAUGCAUCAGCUGAAAGAGGUAGACAUGCUGUCUGCAAAGCUAGACCUGCUCAUGAAGAAGCUCGAUGAUAGAGCUGGAGACAAGAAAGAAGUUAUGCACAUCUACGACUCUCACAUGACUUGUGAGGAGUGUGGAGACACUUGACACUCAGGCAACCACUGCCCUGAGAUGCUUGAGGAUGUGAACUACAUCAACAACAACAACAACUACUACAACCGUCCUCAACAAAAUCAAGGUUGGAAUCAACAGAGGCCUAACUACUCAGGUAAUUAUCAAGGUAACAAUUCUUACAACAAUAAUGCUAAUAAUUUUCCACCUUUGAGAGAGUUAGUGUCUAAUCAAGGAAAGCUAAUGGAUAACCUAUCUAAGAAAUUGGCAUCUAAUGAUAAAAUGCUAGAAAAUAUAAAUAAUAGAAUGGAUAAUUUCUCUACUGCCAUCAAGAAUCAAAUUAGCUUUAAUAAAAUGAUUGAAUCUCAGUUAAAUCAAAUAGCUGCUGCUGUUCCUACUACUAACCCCGGUAUACCAUCACAACCGGAAGGAUUAGAAUCUGCAAAUCUUGUAGACACGUUUGAUGCAGGUAAUUAGAGUAACACCGUCACUGAAUUCUCUACUGACCUUCUGCCGGUCAAGAGAGGCGAUCCAGGACGCCCCGUCAUCCCGAUCUCUAUCGGCAUGGUGGACGUUCCAGAAGCACUCUGCGACUUUGGCUCCAGUGUCAACAUUAUACCCAGGGUACUCUAUGAAAAAUUCUUUACAUAUCCUUUAUUAGAAACAACCAUGUGUUUGCAGUUUGCAGAUCAGAUGAUAACUUUUCCAAAAGGAAUAGUGAAGAACCUUUGUGUCCGAGUUGGUACCUUAUAUGCCCCAGCAGACUUCGUAGUGGUAGAGACCGGAAAUGAUGAGAGAGCACCUAUCAUCUUAGGGAGGCCAUUCUUGAACACCACGGGAGCUAUCAUCUACGCUAGUGCUGCUAAGAUCAGUUUCUACGUCAAAGGGAAGAAGGAGACAUUUUUCUUCAAGAACAAGACUACACAAAUUCCAGAUCAUCCAGACGUCAAUCAAGGAAGAGGACCAACAGGAGGAACAGGAACAAGCAAGUGUGGACCGAGUCAGCUAAGAUGGUCACUGUAGUUCAUGGAGGCCAAGAUCACCAACUUAAGUCACCGCUUUUGACCAAGAAGGACGACCCAGGAAUGCCAAGCAUCUACUGCUCCAUACAUGGAUAUAGCUUCUACAAGACGAUUUGCGACACCGGAUCGGGCGUCAACAUAAUGGCCGCAGUCACCUAUCGGCUCUUGUUCGGGACCAUGCCACUAAGAACAACAUACAUUCAGCUCCAGAUGGCAGAUCAGACAUUUCGAGAAGUUAAAGGAACAGUAACUGAUGUCCCAGUCAAAAUAGACAAUAACUUUGUCUACACAGACUUUCAAGUUGUUGACAUGGGAGAAGAUGAGUACGAUCCACCCAUCAUCCUUGGAAGACCGUUCCUCAGCACCGUUAAAGCGAUUAUCUACAUUGGAACCGGAGAAGUCCAUAUGCACUUCGCCUCAGAGAAGGUACGCCAUUAUUUUACUGACCCUAACUAUAUCAUUGAAGAAUCUAAGCAGGUAAGAAAGCGACGCAACCGCAACCAGAGGAGGAAGAUCAUCAAGGACGGAUGGGCAGACUACGAAGGAGAAGUUAUAAGGUCAGAAAACGUAGAGUUUAAACAGAAUUAUCCAGAGGAGACCGAAGCACCAAGUCAGGUGUGGAAAAUGAAGAUAACUAUACAUGAAGAGGAGGCGCCGCCGGAAGUACCGACUACGCCACCCAACGAACCUCAGGACGAUUAAGAAAAUGGAGAGUCCCGUUCGGAGGACUUAAAAACACCGAACGCCUUGCCGAGAGGUAAACUUGGUAGUUAUCCUUUCCCUUUCAAUUAUUUCAACUAGUUUACAUAGUUAAUCAUGUUCGUACUAUCUUAAAAAUAAAAGAAAAUAAAAAUGCGAAAAACAGUAAGCCCCAUAUGAGUAUGCGAGUGGCAUAAAACCCAUAAGUACAUUCACUGUGGUGGCAUAAAAAAAUAAAAUAAAAAUUCCUUUUCUGCUUUAUAAAAUAAAAAUAUAAAAAUAGGGAGUAAUAAUUAUUAAGGAGUCUCAACAUGAUAAAGGCUAGAUAUUUAUGCUAACACUUAAUCAGUUCCACAAGCUUUGUUGUCUAUUUGAAACUCCACAGAAUUUAAGAAUCAAGAAGACUAGCAGACGGAGGACAUUCUAAUCGCUGUCAGAAUGCUGCUGACUUUCAAAUACACCUCUACCACCUACUAGCUACAUCAAGAGAAAUUACGUCAAAAUUCAGCUUGGGGGAGAGCACCUCCAUUUAUCCCGAUAAGUAUUUCUAUCUAUCUUUAUACUUAUAUUAUAUUAGAAUAUUAAAUAUACAUAAACUAUAAAAAACCAAAUAAAGAUUUUAAGCUUAUAUAUAUCUUUUGCUUAGUGUGUUUAAUAAAUAAAUAAAGUGGCUAUGCUAAUCUGUAUCUAAAUAAAACUUAAGCAUGGAUAUGAUGAAUAGUUGCUCUGCCUAAUUUGCACAUUUUAAGUUCUCUCUCAAGUUUAGAUAUAACUGUUAUAAUUUAAAGCUUGCUCUAGACCUAAACUUGUGGGAUGAAAACUUGAUCUGAAGUCUAAGUUGUUAACGGAUAUGAUAUGGGAAGGUUGAGCUGCUGUUUAUCUGUUCCUAGAGAUGCUAGAAUUCUGGAGAAUUUUAUCUUUGAAAAUCUUUAAAAUGUUGCAUGAUGAGUUUCUGUAUGAUGAUAGUUUAAAUUCCUACCACAGCCAUAUAUACAUGCUUGCUAGACUUUGAGCCACACAUUUACUAUUUACUGCUUAUGAGCAUUGAGUGUGGUCAAGCUGUGUAGACCCUUAGGAGCUUGUCAUGUGGUUAAAUCAAGAUUCACUUGCACGUUCACUCAUAUAUUCUACUUCUAUUCCGGAAGUACCAUCCACAUAUAUCCAUCCAUUCCAUCUCCAGAAUCACCCAAAAAUAUUCUACUCCUAAUCCGGGAGAGAAUAGCCAAAAAUAUUUCUGUUUUCCCUUGUGAAAUAAAUGCUCAAGUUAUCUUGUUACUACCACUUGCUAUAUUAUCUCAUGAGAUGAGUGCUUUCUAAAAAAAAGAGAUACGAGGAAAUAAAAAGAAGCAAGUGCUCGGAACCUCGAUAGAAAAAAGAGAGUGAGACGAGAGGUAAAAAUGGAAAAGUGUUCGACGGUAGAAUUAGGGGUACAAGAUACCCACCUGAGAGAAAAGAAAAAGAAGAGCAUCUCAUUCUCCUCAUAAAGUUUCAAAAAAGCAAGAAAGGUAUGUAUCCCCUCAAAAGAGCAAAGUAGAAUUAGACUUCCACCACCAUUGUUUUCACCAUUGUUAUCACCAUCAUCACCAUACAUCAUUCAUUCGCCACACAUGCACAUCUUCAUUAAACUCAUUGGCUUGUUUCUUUGGAUCCAUGGUUUGACUAUACAAUACAUGUCUUGUAAGUAUGUAUACUUUAUCUCCCACGUAUGAGCUCCAGAUAUUAAAGCCUUAUUAGAGUAGGGUGAGAGAGAAGCAAUGUCACUAUGCUUUAUACCACAAAUACUACAUAUAUCGAGAGAAGGCAUAUACCAUUACUGCCUUGGUAAGGAUCCAGAAAUACCACAAAAGAGAGAUCUGAGAGAAUCAUACAAGGAAUUCUGAGUUUUAUUUGAAAAUCUGCAAAAACCCCAGAGCUAUAGCUGAUCAAGAAUAAGAGACAUGGCACUUGACUAGACUGUUCUAUCUUUUAACCACUCAAGAUAGAAGUGACGGUUACAAGUCCCGUGGUAGAAGGUAAAGUAAGUAAGUUUUAAGUCUUCACAGUUUACUCUAACUCAGAGAUGAGAUCUUAUUUAAAAAGCAUGUGUACCGUCAAUUAUUAAAAAAAAUAUUGCAACAACUUAUGAUCCAUAGCUGAGUCUAUCCUUGCUCAGGGACGAGCAAGAGGUAAGCUUGGGGGAGUUUGUUGACGGUCCUUAAGUAUCAAAUUUAAUUAUCAAAUAAAUAAAGAAAGGGAUCCAAAUGAAAUCAACAUCUAGACUUAGGGUUUUAUCUGACAGAAUUCCACGAGUUUUGGUGUUUGUCUAUUUCUGCAGGGGGUUAUCAGGAAAUACGGAAGAAAGGCCCACACGUCGGGAUUACAUAGAGAUAUUAACGUGUUGCGCAAUUAUCUUACAUCUAGAAGACUCCAGAAGCCACGAGACCGAAGCGGAGGCGAAACGGGGCCAGAGGCAGGGCGCCCGCCCUCCUGCCCUGGGCGCCCGCCCCCUCUGGGAGUCCAAUCGGGACUCUGCUUUGCGGGAGAUUUCCACCUACCUAAAGGAUGAAUCUAAACCAUAAAAUCUAUGUCGGUUUGAUCCAAUGGCCCAUAUUCACUUGAAGGGACUAUAAAACCAGACCCCCUGGCCCCUGGAGGAGAGAGCCUCUCAACCCUAAUUCAUUAUUUCUCAAGGGAGAAGAAGCCCCUGAUCAAGAUUAGAGCCACCACAUCAAUUAGAUAUCUAGAUUAGCAUAGCUACAUAGGAUUAGAACUAGAAGGAGUCAAUCUUCGAUUGGUUUCCGGAUCUGUCAAGAGGAUUCUUGGUAAUUCUCUAAUUGUGCUUCUAAUUGCUUUCUAAUUAUCUUUGUUCUUCAAUAUUAUGAGUAUGACUUUGUUCUACUUCAAUAUAUUGCUUAUGACUUUGCUCUACUUGCUUAUAUUCAAGAUUAUAUUGUUCUUAGUUUAUCAUAGUUAUGUACUUGGCUUAGUUAGAUUCGAUCUAUAUACAUGCUUAGGAUCGUAUAGCGUUUAUCCAUCGGAUCCAUGGGUAAAUGAUAGAUAUUGUGUAGGCGUGGUGCUUAUACCGUAUUUAUCUGCGAUUGUACCCAAUAUGCCAGAUCGUGGGGUAGUUCGUGAUAGUGACAGCUUCAUUGAUUCUUAUAUAGUCCCCCUCUCGUGUAUUGGGCUGGCAGAGCAACAUUAUUACAGGGGAGUGAUUGCUAUGUUUCUCAUAUUCCUUGCUAAUAUCACUAUGCAUGGGCGUAGUCUUGUCUCGCAAUGAUUGCUAAGUAUGCUUGCACUAACUAUGAUAAUGCUAGACUAUAUAGUUGAGAAUAACUUAGGGAAUAUUCUUGUAGUUCGUUCUAAUACCAUGCUAAUGACUUUCUAGAGUAUCUAAUUGAGGUGCUUAUCAUAUUUAUUAUGUGGCUAGAUCAGAUUAAUUAUCCUUGUCACUAUUAUUAUUUCAUAUAUCUUUUAUGUGACACUUAUCCCUGUAUGAUGAGUUAGAUAUAAUGUUCUCAAUUAUACAUGCAAUGAUAGAUGCUCAAUCUCAUAUUCUAUUCUGUAAUCAAUAUUGAUGAUUGCUAAUCCCUUCCCAGUGGUAAAAAUAUAAAUAACGAUACCUGGAAUACAUUCCGGUUAAAACGCUGCAUCGGUAUUAAUCUGUGCGCUUGCAGAUCCCAUUCAUUAUUUAUUUAGAAGAGCAAUUGCAUAUUUCAAUACCGCGUCUCUUAUAUCAUGCUGGGGAUGACAACUUGGCUUAAGUGGUGUGAGGGAUAGGUUUGGCAUUUUUGGCACCGUUACUAGAUUUAGAGAACUUAGUCUACUUUUGGUAAUGAUGUUAAGAAUACCCAACAAAGUCAAAUCAAGAUGUGCAUGUGUGGCGAAUGAAUGGUGUAUGAUGAUGAUGCUGAUAAUGGUGAAAACAAUGGUGAAUGUCUAAUUCUACUUUUGCUCUUUUGAGGGGAUACAUACCUUUCUUGCACUUUGAAGCUUUUUGAGGGAAAUGAGAUGCUCUAUAUUUUCUUUUUCUUUUCUCUCAGGUGGGUAUCUUGUACCCCUAAUUCUACUAUCGGACACUUGUCCAUUUUUACCUCUCGUCUCACUUUUUCUUUUCUUCGAGGUUCCAGGCACUUGCCCCUUUUUAUUUUCUCAUAUUUUUCUUUUUUUUAGAGCACUCAUCCUCCUGGAAUAAUAUAGCAAGUGGUAGUAACCAAAGUAUUUGGAGCAUUUAAUUUCACAGGGAAUAACAGGGAUAGGAGAAUGUUUUUGGCUAUUCUCUCCCGGAUAGGAGUAGAAUAUUUUUAGGUGAAUCUAGAGAUGGAAGUGAGUGGAUGGAUGUGGAUGCGUACUUCCGGAGUAGAAGUAGCAUAUAUGAGUGAACGUGCAAGUGAAUCUUGAUUUUAACCGCAUUACAAGCUCCUAAGGCCCUACACAGCUUGACCACACUCAAUGCUCAUAAGCAGUAAAAAGUAAAUGUAUAGUUCAUAGUCUAAUAAGCAUGUAUAUGUGGCUGUGGUAGGAUUUUAAACUCUCAUCAUACAGGAACUCAUCAUGCAACAUUUUAAAUAUUUUCAAAGAUAAAAUUCUCUAGAAUUCUAGCAUCUCUAGGAACAUAUAAAUAGCAGCUCAACCUUCCCAGAUCGUAUCUGUUAACGACUUAAGAUCAAGUACUCUUCCCACAAGUUCAGGUUUAGAGCAAAUCUUAAUUCAAAACAGUCAUGCCUAAACUUGAGAGAGAAUUCAAUUUUGAGAACUAGUCAUGGUAGAGCAACUAUUCAUCAUUUCCAUGUGAGCGCUUAUCAUGAGGGUUCAUAGCAAACUUUAUUUAUUUAUUUAUUUAGCAAACUAAGCAAAGAUAUAUAUAAGCACAAAAAUCUUUAUUUGGAUUUUUGUGAGUAUGCAUCUUUUUAUUAUUUGAGUAAAGUAUAAACGCGAGUAGAAACACUUAGCUAGUUAAAUGGGGGUGCUCUCCCCCAAGCUGGAUUUUGACGUAAUUUCUUCUGAUGCAGCUAGCAGGUGGCGGAGGUGUAUUUGAAUGUCGGCAGCACCCUGACAACGAUUAGGACGUCCUUCGUCUGCUAGUCUUUUUUUAUCCUUGAAUUCUGUGGAGCUCAAAUAGACAACAAAGCUUUGUGGAACUAGUUAAGUGUUAGCAUAAAUAUCUAGCCUUUAUCAUGUUGAGCCUCCUCAAUAAAUGUUAUUCUCUUUAGUGGGAUCACAAUCUUAUUUUUAUAUUUUCAUUUUUAUAGGACAGGAAUAUAUUUAUUUUAUUUUUACGCCACCACAGUGAAUGUACUUAUGGGUUUUAUGCCACGAGCAUGCUCACAUGGGGCUUACUAUUUUUAAUAUUUUUAUUUUCUUUUCAAGAUAGCAUGAUUAACUAACAAGCCAUUUAAGGUAAGUAAAUAAUUUAAGGGAAAAGGGAAUGCAGAAAGGAUAAAUAUGGAUAACUACCGAUUUUACCUUUCAGCGAGGGUUCAAUGUUUUAAGUCUUCUGAACAAGACUUCUCAUCAUGUUCAUUCUUUAGGUGUGUCAUUUGAUUCAGGUGUGGACCUUGACAUCUGCACCUCUUGAUACGGUGUCACCCAUGUUCUUCGUUUGCCCAGCAGUUUGAAGUGUGGCGUUGGCAGCAUCCUGCUCGGUGUGUUUGUGCUCGUAGAUCCACGUCCUUCACUUGGCGGAAUCUGGGAGUUGUAAAACUCCACCAUGUUUUGCUCCAAGUCUACCUACUCAUAGAGACAAGGCAGAGAUCAAGUGCAUAGGCUCUGUUGGUGGAAAACACCAACAAAACCAAAAGUGUAUUUGUUCUUCUCUAACCUUAAGCAUAGUGAGCAAGACAAAUUUGAUGGAUAAUAAUUUCAUGAGUGUAACAUUUAAAAUAUUUGUCAGAUUAGAUCGCUCAACCUUAUUGAAUAAUCUAUCUAUGUAUAUGUCUUUUUCUUUAUAUCUUCCCAAAGAUUGAAUGUGCAACACUUUAGCUCAUAUGAUUAGGAGUGUAGGAUCACAAAGGUGGAAGGACUAAACAUAUUGAAUCGAUUGGGUUGGUUAACCUAGAGCUGUAAAUCAUACAUGUUUGUCUCUUUUAUUCAUAUGAACGCCAGAACCAAGGAGGAGCUUAUAAAACUGAUAGUCAAGUACCUUAAGAUGUUACCUUACUUGAAGAGGUGAUGGUACAGUAUGACCUUGUGGAAGCUUUCCUUUCUUAGCGGUUGUGCAUCGUGUUUGUGGCACCCUCCAUGGAUCAUCUCUUAUGAGCUACGUCUUCCUUGUGUAAAUUGUUAAACUUGAUGUGUCUCUCUCUUUGUCUCCAAUGUGAGUUUAUCUCAGGACUUCCUAGGUCGAUAUUGAAAGUUGUCUACAGGGGUUAGUCCAACAAAAUAUCCAAUAUCUACUAUAGCAUACUAUCGGCUCAAAAAUCAACCUAGACACCAUGUCUAAUUUGAUUUAGGAGGGCAUUUUAACCUAAGCACCAUGCUUAAUUUAAAAUCCCUUGGAAGUAAGAUCAUCAUUCCUAAACUAAGCACCAUGCUUAUUUAAGAGAUAAAUGAAACUUCUCCAAACCUAGACAUAUACUAAAGCAAAUAAAGGUAGCAUGAGAGCAUUUAUAGAGAUCUACUCAAGUGGAGAUGAAGUAGUGUGAUUAGUAUUUAACAAAUUGAGCAUGUCUUAAAGGUAGGGACAACCAACGUAGCAACAUGGCAAAGGAUAUUUUUGUGUAAGGUAUUCCCCCAAGCUUGAAUUUUGCAAAAUUCAAGUUUGGAUGAAUUUAAUUUAGUGUUGCAUAAUGAUUGGCUGGACAUACCUUGUGCUUGUCGUUCAUCCGAUCUUCUUGCUCCAAUCCUGGAAAGGUUAGUGACAAGAAUACCCGAAGGAAUAUUUUUACAAUUAUCCUUAUAUGCUCAAUACACAAUGUAAUGUUGCAAAUAAUUAAAAGCUCAUGUUACGAUCUGAUCAGUGCUUAUUUUAGGACACUAAGCUUGUCCAUGGGAAACCAUCAAUUUAUGUCGGCGAAGUGGUUUCCCUUCCAACGCUGACCUAUAUCAAGAUCAACUCAACGAGAUCUGCAAUAUUUAUUAUAGACAUAUGCGUCGACAACCGCCCUUUUAAAGUUUUUAUAAAUAGAAAGGAAGAGGGGGUUAGAGAUCUCAAAUGUGGUGAUGUUGGAGAGACCAAUAGAUUGGGAAGAUGUUGCAUAUGAGCAUGGAGUAAACGAAGUGGCUAUGAAAUAAAUUCCAUGCUCAUUAAUGUUAUCUUCGUCUGCAAUCUGAAUGUUCGGAGUUUCUCCUGGAUUGGUCUCACCUAUGUCCUCUUCUAUAGUUGGAUGAAUCUCAUCUUCAAAGGGAGUCAAGAACUCACCAUUUGAAAUUGAGCCAAAGUCAGAAUCCAUUAAGGCUUCUUCCUUAUCCAUCCAUUCUACACAUUGUAGCCAUUUAGAACUUGUGAUCAGGAAAGGGGAGGUGUUAGAAUUAUCUAUAUGGCUUAGCUCUCCUUCUAUGACAUUACUUGACAUGUCAUCCUCAUGGUCUUUAUGACUCCUAUGGUUUGAUCGUCUUGAUGGAGUGUUAGGAUCAUCAUGAGACUUAAAAGGAGAGGGAUAAGAGGGGUCUCUAAGGUGAAGGAUGGAUUUAGAAUUUGUGAACAUGGAAGGGGAGCAGAUAGAAUCUUCUAUAUGGUUUAGCUCUCCUUCACUUGAUAUGUCAUCCUCGACUUCUUCAUAAUAGAAACCAGGACAUUCUCUAAGAGAACCAUUAUUGCAAGAAUUUGAAUUAUCCCUGCUUGAAGGUCUCUUAUGGAACCAGGAGUCUAAACCAUCAGUAUCUGAAAGAUUAAAGGUUGGAAUUCCUUCCUCCCUUGGAGAAUUUUGGGGUAUUGAUGGUUUAGGAUCGAUAGGUAAAAUUUGGGAUUGAAGUGGUUGUAAUUUGGCUAUCGAAACUUCUUCUUCUUGUCUAGGAAUUGGUUCUUUCUCUUUCUCAGGGAUAUAAAUGCUAGGAAACUUUCCACUCAAUGAAUCAAUUAAAUCCCAAGCUUCACAAGCAGGUAGGUGAUAGAAGGAUCCUUUAGAGGCUAUAUUCACAGUUUGCUUAUUUUCCCUACUAAGGCCCUCAAAAAAGUGAAUUAGAAGAACUUCUUCUAGAAUAGAAAGCUUUGGGCCAAUGAGAGUAAGGUUAAUAAAGCGGUCCCAUGAUUUGCCAAGAGAUUCUUCUUCCAGUUGUCUAAAAGAAAUAAUCUCACGCCAAAGUUCCGCCACUUUGGAGAUUGGAAAAUAUUUAAGAAGAAAACUAUUAUAUAACUCCUUCCAAUCUCCAUGAACACUCCCUACUUUGAGUUUAUACCAAUGCCUAGCUUUUCCUGUUAAAGAGAACAAAAAGAGCUUCCAUUUAAGGGUCUCAUCGGACAUGCCUUCAAUGCGAAGGAGGUCACAGACUCGAUAAAACUCUCUUAGGUGUGUGUAUGGGUUUUCCUCACCUUCUCCUGAGAAAGGUUCUUUUUGAACAAAUUCUAUGUAUUCGGGGUCUAUCUCAAAACUAGAUGUCCUGAUAGGGUUUGAAGAUUUUGGUGGUUCGAGAUGUGUGCCCGUAGGUCUAUGAAACUGAUAGAUAGACAUGAUUGAAUUCAUGAUAGACCAGAGAUCAAGGAUUAGAUAAGAAAAAAGAAUAGCAGAGAUAAGGCAAAGGAUAAAAGGUAAAAUAUAUAUAUAUAUUUUUAUUUUUUUUAGAAAAUGAUUAAGCUAGUUCGUAGUCAACUCAGCAACCGUUUCCCCAGCAACGGCACCAAAAAUGCUUGUUGACACUUGCUAACACCACUUGAAUACUAGGUUGUCAUCCCUAGCAUGGCACUAGAGUGUACUAUGGUAUUUAUACGCACACAGAUAAAUUCGCAAGCGCACGGAUACCGUUGUAGCUUUUACCCGGUUAAAGGUUUUAUCGUAUCCACAGGGAAACGGGAGAACUGAUCUACGCUCUAACUUAACCUAGAUAGAUAGGUAGGUGUAAAUAGGAAAGAUGGUAGAAUUGAAUAAGAACAAUAUUAAAGGUAAGAUAAUAAUGGGUGAUAAUAUAGGAAUAGAGAAUAGAGCAAUCUAAUAUAUGGGCGAUGGUAGGAGAAUAGAGAGGAUAACUAUGGUUUCUCUACUUCAAAGGGGUAUGUCUAUGUCGGGGGUGAACCACGUGAUAAGAAUACACCACAAAGGAUGCUUAUCCAUAGGCCGAUAAACCCUACCAGUCCUGCUAACGGGAGGUCGACUACGGGGGACCAACAUAACUGUCACCUAUGCGGUCUACCACACGAUCCGGCUAGACAGGGGAUAUCCACAAGUAAUCUAGGUCUAAGCACCACGCUUACACCUAUACUACAACUCUCACCUAUAGCGUCCUAUAGAUUAAUGUACUCAAAAGAGUUUUGAACCAGAACAUACAUGGAUAGUAAUUGCAUAAUGAAAUAGAAGUAGAUUACUAGAGUCAUCCCAUGAGCAUGCUUGAUUAGAGCUUGAUCAUAGCGAAGUACAACCGGAGGAAGAACCGACAGGCCGGCCUCUCCUCCAAUCCUCCCUCGCUCUCCAUCUCGCUACUAUCUAGAUCUACUCUAGUUUAGAGAAGAGAGGAGAGCUCUCAUCUCCAAACCAUAGCUUUUGCUCUAUCUAUGAAUAAUGAAAAAGGUUCAAGGCGUGCCUCCUCCAGGGGCCAGGGAGCCUGCUUAUAUAGUCCCUUCAAGUGAAUCUAGGACAUCAGAUCAAACCGACAUUAAUCGCACGAUUAUCCUUGAUCCUUUAGGUCGGUGGAGCAUGAUCCACGAAGUAUAACGUGAUUGGCCAAAACACUAGGGCGGGCGCCCAAGGGGGGUGGGUGGGCGCCCUGCCCCCAGGCCCGCUCGGUGUCCCGUUCGUUCCCAUGGCUUCUAGAGUCUUCUAGAUGAUAGAAAAUUGUGCGGCACGUUAAUAUCUCUAUGUAAACCUGACGUGUGGGCCUUUCCUCCAUAUUUCCUGAUAACCCCCUGCAGAAAUAGACAAACACCAAAACUCGUGGAAUUUUGUCAGAUAAAACCCUAAGUCUGGGUGUUGGUUGCAUUUGAAUCCUUUUCUCUAUUUAUUUGAACAUUAUAUUUAGUACUUAAGGACCGUCAACAGACACCUAAAUAAAAGCCAUGCUAGCGCUUCAGCAAGCUCAAGUUGGGCAGCACAAACUGCGCAAGCGUGUGUGCAAGCACCACAAAGCCUUUAGUGAUGCACAAGCUGAAAUUCAAAACUACCAUACCGCUUUGCAAGCCCGCCGCAACCAAGUUGAAAAUGCAGUUAGAGAGCGCAAUGAGGCACAAGCGCGCAUGAUGCAAAUGACUAGAGAGCGAGAUGAGGCUAUGCGCUUGACUGAAAAUACAGAGGCUGCCAGAGUUAGAGCUUUGUUCCACGCUGAGAUUAGAGAGGAAGAGCUGAUCCAUAGGAUUGUUGAGCUGCAGUUAGAUGUCCAUCGUCCGAAUAAUCAUAAAUCCUAUUCCACACCCUGUCCCCGUUAAUCACGAAGAGGACCCAGUGAGGAAGAUCAGGAUGAUGGCAUAAUCUCUAAUGGAGAAUCUUGUGAAGAACUCUAGUUCCGCAAUGGUUUCCUUAAUUAUGUAUCAGUUUCUGUCUCUUUAUGUAAUGGACAUGUACUCUGAAUUUCUAGUGAAACUCUAUGUAAUUGGCCAUGAUGCCCUUCUUGUAAGACUAAAUUUGUGAAAAUGACCUUGUGUAACCUUAUGCACCUGUAUGUGAUGCUCCAUGUUUAUGUUGAGCUUAGAUAAUCUCCAGCAAUGUCUUUAAUACUUAUAAAAUGUGGUUGUGAAUGAUCGCAAGAAUAACCAGUGUCGUGGAUUAUGUUCCCUUGUUGUAUAUGGAUUAUUGUGCCUUAUAUGAUGUGAAUUUACUUCAUUAAAUUCCGUAUGGCAUCAAUCAAGAUUCAUGGCAAUUAUAUCUGUUAUCCUAAACGGUCACUUGGUAUGCUCUAUGCAGAUGGCUCGCAACACUCGCUCCGGCCACAAUGAGGUGCCACCACCACCACCUCCUCCCCCGCCUACGCCUGUUGAGCUCCUGGAAACUCUUGUGGAGGGCCAGCAGAUGCUAAAUGAAGCUAUGCAAACCAUGGCACAACAGAACCGGGGUGGUCGCCAUGCCCGCCAAGGCAGAGAAGCGAAUCAAUAUAGCAAUUUCAAAGACUUUCAGGACACCAAGCCAUCGGUUUUCAAGGAGGCCUCUAAACCUCUAGAAGCUGAUGAAUGGCUCAAUACCCUUGAGCAGAAGUUCCGCUUGUUGAGGGUGACCGAAGAACUGAAGGCGGAAUAUGCAGCACACCAGUUGGAAGGCAAAGUAGGUGUCUAGUGGAGCCAUUAUAGGACCAGCUUGCCUGCCAAUGCUGUUGUAACCUGGUAUCAGUUUAAAACUGCUUUCAGGAACACUUCCAUUUCACAGGGCUUAAUGACUAUCAAGCAUACCGAGUUCAUGAACCUUACUCAGGGCACUAAAAGUUUGACUGAGUAUCUUCAUUCUUUCAAUAACUUGUCUUGCUAUGCUACUGAGUUUGUUGAUACUGAGGCCAAGAAGCUUGCUAGUUUCAAGAGAGGACAAGGGCCCAAGCUGUCCAAGAACAUGGCUGGAAACAAGAGUACCACCUUCAAUGAGUUUGUGAGUGAUGCGUUGACCCAGGAAAACUCCAAUGCUGUUUAUGCUGCAUCUAAGAACCAGAAGAGGACCUAUGAAGCGGGUGCUUCGCAGUCCACGGCUCCAGUGACAAGUAAGCCGGCCUAUCACCCACCUAAUGCUGUGACAAGGUACAGGCCGCCGUAGAAAAAGCCCAAUGUGAAGACUGGAGUUUGCAAGUCCUUCACAGUUGCUCUUCCUAGAGGUGCUACAGGUCAAGGGAGCCCCAAAACUCCCCCUGAUAAUCAUCCCUGUUUUAACUGCAAACAAGUUGGUCACUGGGCAAGGGAUUGCCCUUAUCCUAAAAGGACUUCUACAGCUGGGGUUACUACUCAUCCCGGCCGAGUGCACUAUACCACCAUUGAAUAAAUCCCUAAAGGUGAAGCAGUUAUGGCUGGUAUGUUUCUUGUCAAUCAACACCCUGCAGUUGUCUUGUUUGAUUCUGGAGCCUCGCAUUCGUUUAUGAGUCAAGCAUUCGCAUCUAAGCAUGGGCAGCAUGUAGUUGAUCUUGACAAGGGCAAAUUUUGCAUUAGUGCUGUUGGUAAUCAAAUCUCUACAACUCAAUUAGUGAGAGAUGUACAUAUUGCCAUUGAAGGGCGUAGUUUUUCAACACAUCUUGUUAUUCUACCGAGCUUGGGAAUAGAUGUUAUUCUAGGAAUGAAGUGGAAGAGUGACCAUGGAGUGCUAAUAGACACCUCAACAAGGGUAAUCAGGUUGAGGGAGCCUGAUAGUGAAGAAGCUUUCUUAGUCCAACUUCCUAGAAGCGACGACAUCCGUCACGCUGCUAAUGCUAUCAGACCGCUCACUGUGGCAGAGAUUUUGGUAGUGUGUGAGUUUCCGGAUGUCUUUCUAGAGGAUUGGCCCGGGUGCCUCCGGACAAAUAUAUAGAGUUUAAAAUUGAUCUAAUUCCAGGUACCGCACCUAUCUCUAGAAGGCCAUAUCGAAUGCCACCCAAUGAAUUGGCAGAGUUGAAGAAACAAUUGCAAGAACUCCUAGAGAAAGGUCUUAUUCGGCCUAGUUCUUCUCCAUGGGGUUGUCCGGCUCUCUUUGUCGAGAAGAAGGACAAGUCUCUACGUAUGUGUGUAGACUAUCGUCCGCUGAAUGCUGUGACUAUCAAAAACAAGUAUCCCCUGCCUCGCAUUGAUAUUCUAUUUGAUCAAUUAGCUAAGGCUAAGGUAUUCUCGUAGAUUGAUCUGAGGUCCAGGUAUCAUCAAAUCAAGAUCUGACCCAAAGACAUCCCCAAAACGGCUUUCUCUACCAGGUACGGGUUGUAUGAGUAUCUAGUCAUGUCCUUUGGUCUGACUAAUGUCACAGAACCGACCAAAUUAUAAGAGUUCAAGUGCAGAAAUGAUCGCCAAGCAAUCAAGUUUCCAAACUUGAGCCCAUAUAAUCCCGGUAGUCAAUUGAAAUCACGAAGGACUUCAAACCAACUUGCAACAAACCAAGAUCGUAAUAGUCCAACAUAAACACAGCGAAUGUUACAUAGUCAUUCAUUGCUGUCGAUGCGGCACCACAUCGGAGUUAUUAAGUUAUUACAACACAAGUUCGAAGUAGCGGAAGCAAAAUAGUUACACACACUCAUUCGAAGUUCAGUUCACAAGUUUUGGUUAUGGCCAGAGUCUACACCAUCCUUCCAAAAGCAACAGAUACGAAGUUGUUAGAGAACCGUGCCCAACGGUUAGUCCUCAUCCCUAGCGGGAUGGAGACAGGUCUUGCAGAAGCCGUCAUAAAAGAUGUCAUCUGCAACAGGUGGGAAUAAACCCUGAGUACGAGAAUGUACUCAGCUAGACUUACCCGUCUAGUACAACAUAAAAGACACCAAGGAUCAUGCAAGGCUAAAUAUCAAGUGGAGCUGGUUGACUCAUCUUUUGCCAAAAGCUUAACUUACAACUAAGUUAUUUUGAGAGCAUCAUAUUUAUUUAUUAUCAGUCUACCACUAGAUUAGCACCUGUACUACAACACAUCACUUGAUUAUUACAAACUAUAAUAGCCAUAUCAAAUUCAUCAUAUGUUCUUCUUGCUAUCAUCAUUAUCAUGAACCAAAUUCAUUAGUGAGUGCUACGUUUGCCGCUGCUCUAUCAAGUUCUCACUAACCGGGAGAGACGGCGAUUCGAAUCGAAUUCCUAUCCAGCUGGAGGGUUAUUCCUAGCACUCACCCAUGCAUCCCCUGCCGGAGAGCCAACGGGUCACCUUUGGUACAACUCAGGAAUCGCGGCUCCGAUCAGCGCCGCACUCCCAGGGCUACCACUCUGCCAGGGAGGUCAGGAAUUUUAACUCACCUGCCUUUGGACUUACGCCAAUGGUCCCCCGCACACCGCACUUCCUCCGGUAGUGCGCACUUUAUACUUGCCGGUCUUCCGGCCUGAGUCAGACUACUCGGCUUCGCGGUCGGAACGAGUUAUCCGGCCAACUAAGUGUUAGGCAUGCGUUCAACAUGACAAGAGGACGUACAACGAUCGGUCCUUAGCUGCCACAGACGGAGUUACUACAAACUUGCAAAACUCCGCCCGGCUUAAGUCAAUUUAAUCAGGUUCUAUCCACGAUAGCACAUAUAGACCAUCGUGAUCCGACAUAACCCUAUAUCGCGCAGGUGACAGGAUAUCACCCGACUUCUACCGAUUAAAGCAUGGCUAGGCCGCUACUCGAUCCUAACUCUACAACCAGGGUAGGAUGAAUUAUCUGGACAAGGAUGGAAUAAAGUGCAGCAAAAGUUUCAUCACAACUCCUAUACGUAAUGCAUCAAUAGAUAUAACAUAUUAAGUAAACUUUCGAAAAUAAAGGGAGACUUAGAAUGCUUCGGGGCUUGCCUUUCACGAACGACACUGGCUCGUGAUUCGGGCACUCAACUUCUUCUUCGGGCUCUUCGAGUCCGGCUUGCUGAACCUCCACCUCUUGGCUGCCCUCCUGACCGUCGGGAUUCACUUGCAGCUCGUAGGAGGCUGUCGCGUCCGAUGCACCUAUUGCAUGCUCGAACGAUAAGAAGAUGCACAUGCUAAAGAUGAAUACUUGAUAACAUAAGUAACUCACUGGACACUCAUUUACGGAGCAAAAGUUAUACAAGCUCACACAAGUAAAUAAGUUACCUUAGCCCAAAACCUAUCAUGAUACUAAAACAGCAAGCAACACCAAACAAGAGUAACCUGGUAAAUAAAUCAUAACUAAUGAUAGACAGAUCCAACAAACAUAAAUAAAGACAUUCUGGAAAGCUUAUGAAAUUGUCUACAAAUCCUCUUUAAACAUCACAGCAUGAUUCAUAAAUUAAACCAGUCAUUUAAACAAGGUUCCAGGUUCUGUCCCAGAAAAACAGAGAGCACCUAUUUCUGGAACCCAACUUGGAACAGCCAUAACUUUUAAACUAUUGGACUAAAUGAUCCCAAAUUUAAACCACAGCUAGUUCAAUAAGUUUACUACAACUUUGAUUUAGACAAGUUGCCCAUAAAACCAAAUUAUCAUUAAGCAAAAGUUAAAUUGCUCCCUUGCUGUCCAGAACAGCCUUUAACCCUAUAAUUAAUUAUUUAAUAACAUGACCAAAACACAAACCAUGCCAACUACACGGCUUAGGAGCACAAGCAUAUCACAAGGUUACCAGAAUACCACAUGAAAACCCCCAAACAUUUACUUAACAAGGCAUUUAUUAAUUAAUUCUAGAAAAGAGCAUAAUUACAAGAUGCUUAGUCAAGGUGCUCAGAAAAAUCUACAAAAAUUACAGAAGUACAAGGAUAGCAUCCAAGCAUCACUAGAAAAAUUUCACAGCAAAAGCACAUAGUAAAUUAAAGAUAUGUAUUUAACAUGUAACUAGGUGUUUAUUUCAUAAAUUCAGAAACAUGACUUAUAUGGUACCAAACAACAGAUUUCAGAUUAUUUAUACCUUAGGAAUACCAUAAACAUGUUUACUACCAAAGUAGAACACCAGCAUAAGCACCAAUUAUUUUAUAUAAUUUAAUUAAAGAAACAAGCCAAAUUUCAAUCAUAACAUACAUAUCAAAUCUGCAGUACUCCAAAAAUCAUGAAAUAUUUACCACAGCACUAUAAUACCAUACAGAGACUACCAUAAAAUUUUCAUGGCAAAGUAAACAGUAUAACAAGAUAUAUGAAUUUAUCCAUGAAUAACAAUAUUAAAUCCUUAAUAAAUAUUUUCCCAGAAAACAUGGUUCAUUUUAUAUUUUUAUUAAAAACUAGCCAUCUCAAGGAAUACCACAAAAUUUCUUUCACAAUUUUUGGAUCUCAGAAACAGGAGAUAUGAUUUUUGCAAGAAAGCCAAAAAUCAGGAUUUUGAAUAAAAGAAAAGGAGGGAAGGAGAGUGACGCUGACAGUGGACCCCGCCUGUCAGGGUCAUCGUCUUCACAGCCGAUGCGACUCUCGCCGGCGAUUUCUCCGCGACGGCGAGGUCUUCGGCCAAACCAAGGGCAUCAGCAUGAUCCCCAAACCCUAGCGACUCGAUUGACCCCCUUUUUCCCACGGCGGAGCCACCGGAAGGGGCUCGCCGUCGACGAUGGCGGCUCGGCGGAGGUGCUCGGCGUUACGCCGGAGCCCUCAGGCCGGUAGAGCGCGACCUAAGGCCUUCUACAGCACCAGCGGACUACGGCGAAGCUUCCUAGGUACGCAGCUAGGCUUGAAUCCUCGUGGAACACGCUGGCCACGAGAGCACCCAUCUCCGGCGGAAGCACGGCGGCGCUGCGCACCGUGUCCGGCGACGGAGAGCUUGGUAGAGCGUCCACCAAGUGGCGCAAAAGCUCGCUAAGAACCUAAGCAACCUCUAGGAUCUAACCAAAGACGACGAGAGGCUUCACAGGGUUCGGCAUUGGGCUCGCCGGAAAAGAUGGUCACGGCGACCCGAUUUGGGGGAAGAAGGAAAUGUCGGCUCACCGGUGGUUUUCUCGGCGAGUUAGAGGGUGGAGAAUGGAGAGCGGUUCACGGCGGAGCUGUGGGUGGAGUUUGGUGAGCAAAGGUGCAGCAAGGAGCGCGCGCGAGCUCGCCGGAGUAGGCUCGCGAAGGAGAGCUCCCAGCGGCCGCGUUUCUGGCGAGAAAGGGCGAGGGAGAGCGAAGUGGACGCGUCCACUCUGCGCGGGGCGCCGCCGUGAAGGUCAUGCACGCGAAGAGAGCUGACAAGCGGGGCCAGGAACGGCGUACGGGCGCCAAAUGUCGACGGAGCUCUGCCGCCGGUUGGCCACGUCGACGAGCGCGGUUUUGAUUCAGAAGAAACGAUGACAGUGUGACAGAGCAACUUCACCGAUGAUUAUCUCCCAAACCAGUCCGAGUUAGAAGAUGAUGCAGUUGACAAAGUUGGAGUUCCAAUCGAGAUCUACGACUUUGUCAACUAGAGCAAAGGCCAGAUCGGCCGGGAUUGAGAGAUAUAGAGUUUCCAAAAUCGAUCGAGCAAACUGGUUUCGUUCCAAGACUUAGAAAUUUUUCUAAGUGUUGGAAACAGCCCCAAAUCUGCCUUGUGGGCCACUUUUGAGCUAUUUGUGAUCAUUUUCAUGAGAUGGCCAUAAAACAACUUUUGUUCCUUAUAAAAUUUUCUACAACUUUGGUGUAGGAAGUUUUGACAUGCAAACAUUUUAUGAAACACUUUUUAAAAGCCUAAGCAAAAGAGGUUUCUAGGGCCUAUUUGCACAAGUAUGACUUAAGUGAUUAUUUUGAGGAAGUGAUCAACAUGAACAUUGUUCCCAAGGUUAAGUUAAGCAUAGAUAAACUAAUUACCAAAGCAUUGAGCACAAACACAAGCAUGGUUCACUCAAACAUAAGCAUAGGAAGCCUAUUUAAGCAAUUUAAAACACAUUUUUGCAUAGAAUGACAUGGCUCAAGAGAGAUGAUGAUCAUGAUAUGCUUUGAGUAGAUGAUGAUGCUCAUGAUAUGCACAUGAUUGAUGCAACCAUAACACUGGGGUGUUACAGCCCUCCCCCCUUACAAAAAUCUCGUCCCGAGAUUUGAAAGCUUACUGAUUUUCGAAGAAUGUUUUGUAAACUUCUUUUAAAUAAUCCUCCGUCUCCCAAGUGGCAUCUUCCUCCCCAUGGUUACUCCACAACACUUUGUAGAGUUUAACCACAUGAUUACGCGUCUCCCGUUCCUUGCGAUCCAGAAUCGCUACGGGUUUCUCCUCAUACACAAAGUCUGACUUCAACUUGAUAUCUCGAACUUCCACUCGUUCCUCGGUACACGAAGGCACUUCUUCAAUUGUGAUACGUGGAAGACAGGGAAAAUAGCUCGAAGCGCAAUGGGAGUUGAACUUUGUACGCCACAUUCCCUUUCUUUUCGAGAAUCCGAUAAGGUCCCACAUAGCGAGGUGCAAGAUUUCGCUUGACUCCGAACCUUUGUACACCCUUCAUCGGAGACACCUUGAUAUACACAUGAUCGCCAACUGAAAACUCAAUCGGCUUCCUUCUUUUGUCAGCAUAACUUUUCUGACGAGCUUGAGCAGCUUCUAGGUGUUGUUGGAUGGUACGGACUUUCUGCUCUGCUUCGUUCACGAAAUCGAUGCCAUAAUAUCUUCGUUCUCCGGCUUCUACCCAAUUCAACGGGGUUCGACACUUUUGACCAUACAGGGCUACAAAUGGAGCCAUCUUGAUACUCUCCUGAUAACUAUUGUUGUAGGAGAACUCAGCCAAUGGCAACCACUUAACCCAAGAGCCUUUUGAAGAGAGAGCACAUGCCCUCAACAUGUCUUCAAGGAUUUGGUUAACUCGUUCAGUUUGACCAGCCGUUUGGGGAUGAUAAGCAGAGCUACGGACUAAAUGAGUACCAAUUUGCUCAUGCAGACAUUCCCAAAAACGAGCAGUGAACUGGGGUCCACGAUCUGAUAUAAUUGUUCGAGGCACACCAUAUUGACGAACAAUGUGCUCGGAAUACAAUUCUGCAUACUGAUGUGGACGAUAGUCAGUUCGAACUGGAAUAAAUCGAGCAACCUUGGUCAAACGAUCUACAAUUACCCAGAUGGAGUCGUAACCCUUAACAGAAAUUGGGAGUCCACUGAUGAAAUCCAUGCUGACUUCUUCCCAUUUCCAACCAGGAAUUGACAAGGGUUGAAGCAAACUAGCUUUCAUGUGAAUAGCCUUCACUCGACAACAAUUGUCACAACGAGCGACAAAAGCAGCGAUCUCCUUCUUCAUCUUUGUCCACCAAAACAAAGGUUUCAGAUCCUGAUACAUCUUGCUACUACCAGGAUGGAUAGACAAUUUGGAUGAAUGAGCUUCAGAUAAGAUCUGAUUUCGCAGCUCGCGGUCUUUAGGAACCACAAGUCGAUCCUUGAACCAAAGAAUUCUGUUCUCAUCGACCCGGAAAUGCUUGGUUUCUUCUUCCUUCAUUUUCUUCUUUAUAUGGUGGAUGCCUACAUCUGUCUGCUGCAAUUCGAUGACUCGAUUGCGAAUGGUACUUUCUAGAGAAAUCUGGUUGAGCACAAGUGGAUGCAUAAGAUGUGACAACAACGGGUCUUCCACUUGGAUUGAGUGACAGUGCGCUUUCCGACUCAAGGCGUCCGCCACCACGUUUGCUUUGCCCGGAUGGUAGUGCACUUGAAGAUUAUAAUCUUUAAUCAACUCAAGCCACCUUAGCUGUCGCAUGUUCAGUUCAGGUUGAGUGAAGAUAUACUUGAGGCUCUUAUGAUCGGUGUAGAUAUUACACAGAUUACCCAGCAGAUAAUGCCUCUAGAUUUUUAAAGCAUGAACAACUGUUGCCAAUUCUAAGUCAUGAGUAGGGUAAUUGACCUCAUGCUUUCGAAGUUGGCGUGAGGCAUACGCGAUAACACGACCUUCUUGCAUCAACACACAGCCUAAACCAAUACCUGACGCGUCACAAAAGACAUCGAAAGGUUUCUCAAUAUCAGGCUGAGCUAGAACCGAAGCUGAAGUCUGCAACGUCCUCAACUUGUGGAAUGCUUCUUCACACUCAGGCGUCCACACAAACUUCUCAUCUUUCUGAAGUAGACGAGUCAUAUCUUUGAGAAUUUGGGAAUGAAUCGACGGUAAUACCCAGCAAGACCGAGAAAACUCCGAACCUCGUGUACCGAAGUUGGAACUUUCCAAUCCAGCACUUCUUGCACCUUAGUCGGAUCCACUGAUAUGCCUUCUUCAGAUAAGACAUGGCCCAAGAAAGGUAAAUUCUUCAGCCAAAACUCGCAUUUGCUAAACUUGGCAUAAAGCUGAUGUUCGCGCAAACGCGACAACACUACACGCAGAUGCUCUGCAUGCUCCUCUUCAUUGCAGGAAUAUACCAAGAUAUCAUCAAUGAAGACCACCACAAACUUGUCCAAUUCGGGCAUGAACACCGAAUUCAUGAGAUACAUGAAGUGAGCAGGUGCAUUUGUAAGACCGAAGGACAUGACAAGGUACUCAUACAACCCAUACCUCGUCGAGAAAGCUGUCUUAGGUACAUCUUCAGGACGGAUCUUGAUCUGAUGGUACCCGGAUCGCAAAUCAAUCUUGGAGAAUACUUGGCUUUAGAAAACUGAUCAAACAAGAUAUCAAUGCGAGGAAGAGGAUAUUUAUUCUUGAUGGUCACCGCAUUUAGGGGACGAUAGUCCACACACAUGCGCAAAGAUUGAUCCUUCUUCUUCACAAAGAUAGCUGGACAACCUUAAGGAGAAGAACUAGGACGAAUAAGACCCUUCUUCAACAACUCAUUUAGUUGGGUCUUAAGCGCAACUAAUUCAUUGGGUGGCAUUCUAUAAGGCCUUCUAGAGAUGGGAGCGGUACCUGGAAUCAAUUCAAUUUUGAACUCCACAUCCCGAUCCGGAGGAAGCCCGGGUAGAUCAUCAGGAAAAACAUCCGGAAACUCACACACCACCGGAAUAUACUGAAUAGCCUUAGAUGUAACUGCAUUCACAGUGUUACAGAUUUGAAUAUCCCGAGGAAGUUGCACUAGAAAUGCCUCCUUGGUGUUUGGGUCUUUCAACAUCACUACACGAGUGGUGGUGUCGAUAAGAACUCCAUUGCCACUCAUCCACUUCAUCCCCAGAAUUACAUCUAUGCCCACACCGGGUAGAACAACCAAAUCAGCAAGAAACUGAUGGCCUCCUAUUUCCAGAGUUGCCCCCAAAACCACUUGAUUGGUGGAAAUAUCAUUUCUCGCAGCACUAAUGCAAUAACUGCCCUUAUCAAGUGUAAUGGCCUUGAUGCUAUGCUUAGACACAAAUUCAGAACUCACAAAAGAAUGCGAUGCUGCAGAAUCAAAAAGCACGAGUGCAUCAUGUUGAUUAACCAGAAACUUACCAGCCGUGACUACCUCACCAGCAGGGAUUGCUUCCACAGUUGUGUAGUGAACACGCCCUUGACGGACGUUCCCUUGGUUGCCCUUCUUCGGCGGGUAAGGACAGUUGCUCUGCCAAUGCCCGGUCUGAUUGCAGUUCCAGCAUGGACGGUUGGCAGGCGGAGUCUUGGCAUAGUUGGGACCCGUGUUGCCCCUAGGGAGAGCAAUAGAAUACCCCUUGCGAAAACCUGUCUUUGCCUGAUUCUUCUUCACCGGAGGGCGGUAUCGCUGGUUCGGUGUUGGAGCACGGAACGGUGGCUUAGCUGCCACUAGAGCCUUGGACUGAUAAGAUGACCCGGCCCCGGCCUCAAAAGCCCUCUUGCGAGUCUUGGUCGCAGUGUACACAGUGUUAUAGUUCUCUUGAGUGAGAGCAUCAAUGACAAACUCAUUGAAAGUUGCACACUUAGUGCGGCCCAUAGUCUUCAGCAAUUUGGGGCCCAAACCCCGCUUGAAACUAGCAAUCUUUUUCGUCUUCGUGUUCACAAACUCAGGAGCAUAUCUAGACAAAGGAUUGAAAGCAUGCAAAUACUCCUUCAAAGUCUUGUUGCCCUGAGUUAACUACAUGAACUCGGUAUGCUUCAUCUCCAUGACACCAGGAGGAAUGAAAUGCCCUUUAAAAGCAUCACGGAAAAGAUUCCAAUCAAGCACAGUGUCGGCUGGAAGAGCUUCCCGAUACUGAUUCCACCAGAUGCCUGCUGGGCCCUGCAGUUGAUGAGCUGCAUACUAUGCCUUCAAACCUUCAGUCAACCGAAGCAAGCGGAACUUUUGUUCCACCGUGUUCAGCCAUUCUUUAGCUUGAAGGGGUUCUUCAGCUUCUGUGAAAGGUGGGGGCUUUGUGUCCAUGAAGUCCUUGAAGCUACUAUACUGGUUGGGAGGUGGCCCUUCCUGUGCAUUACGACCACCCUGAUUUGCCAUCCGAUUGAUGGUCUCAGUGAGCAUCCUCUGAUUUUCCACCAUCAUUUGCAUUAACUCAGCAGGAUUCGGUGGUGGAGGAGGAGGUGGUGGAUUCAUGUUUGCACGCUGUUCCGCACCUCGGGUGCCACGAGACAUCUGUAAAGACACAGUCAGUGAGUAUUGAUGAUGACAAGAUUUGCCGUAGAAGAACUUGUAUUUAUGCCUGAAAGUAUUCGAGAGAAUAGCUUUACAGAAAAGGCACAAUAAUUCAAUUCCACAAAACAACAUCACCAAUCCAACACAUGACAGAGAUAUCCACAAUAUGCACCACAACGGAAAACAUCGUCAUAACAUAACAAACAUGUUAAGAUUGCACAUUGGGUCCACAAAGUUAUUACACCACCUCAGUACAUGCCAUGAGUCACGGUCAAAGCUCCGGAUUACAACAUGGUUACAAAAGCACCACGGCUGACUAGCAUACUGCAAAAGAUCCUCACAAAACACUACUCACUACUCCCUACACUCCAGGCUCGUCGUCCGAGUCAGCGUCGAAGAUCGCCUCUCCAUCCUCGUCGCUAACCGGCUCAAGCUCCUCGUCCUCCACGUCCUCGUGCAAAGGUGGUGCAGCCGCUGCUGGUCCAUCAACCUCCAUACCAUCAUCAUCGGCCACAAUCACCUGAGGUCCCACCUCUGGAUACAUGGGUAUAGGGCGAGGAAUAGGGUGUAGCAAGUUGUUGAGACGGUGAAUCUCCACAAGACCAGCCUCAAUCUGAUCCUGCAGAUAGUUCUCCCGCUCAAGCGACUGAACUCGGUGCAUCUCCCAUGCUUGGCGCCUGUUCUCCGACACACGGAGUGCAGUAUCCCUCUCACGAGUGAGCUACACCAAGCGCUCCUGUAAGGUCUCCCUCUCUCUAGCUAACUGGCUCAUCUGAUCCUGCUUAUGAUCUCUCUCUCUAAUGGCCUUCACCCACUGCUGCCUACGGUACUCCGCAAUGUCCUCCCAGUCAUUGCGGUCCUUCUGAGCUUGCUCCAGGAGUCUAGCUUGCUUGCGAAACUUGCGAGCACGCUUUUCAGCCUUCCGCUGCGCCUCCUGAGCCCUGCGAACAGCCACCAUCACCUGUGCAUAGGUGCCCUCUCGCUGUCUAAUCAGCUUGAGCACCGCCAUCAUAGCACUCAUAGCAGGACUAGAACUCUCCGCUCUCUCUCCCCUGCCUCGAACCAAAGCACAACCGUCAGCCUAUUUCCACUCCGCUGCUGCUGGGUCAGCACUGGGGAUGGAGGCCGCUAGUCCUCCCGUCAGCUCAUCACCACACCUCUGACAGAUAUCGAGCAGGAUAGUCUGGGCUGCAACCUGAGCUGCCUCCCAAGGAGUUUGCCCAUCUGAGCUACAAGUCCAGCCUGUCCAUGCAGGCUUGUCCCCAUGGGGAGGGACAACUCCCUGCACAGCAAACCACUGAAUCCCUCCUGUGCUCUCCAUCUCCCACCAAGAAUACUGAGGUGGCUCAGUAUACCCAACAGUCCGUAACACUCUCCAGAGCAGGGUAGGAGUGCCAAACUCGUGCAAGAAAGUGUCACUGGGACGGGGUGAAGCGGGUGCGUCCAUCUGUGGAAAGGAAUAGGAAUACCAUGGGUAAAAGAGGAUUAGUUUAAGCAACAUUUAUUUAAUUAAAAGGGACGACAUUGUAAGGGAAAGAGUCGACAGAAUGUAUGUAUGAAUGCGACAUGAUGCAUGCACGAACCGUACGUCCUCACAAACUAAGAAAAUUAAUAUUCUAACGGAUAUACGGUGGCAUACAUUCGUCUCUCGAUACGAUAACUAUCGGUUUACACGUGCGCUGUUAGAGUACCUGCAGAAAACUUCAUUCCAGCCCAACAGUUCCCAAUAAAUCACUCAAGAAAGCAGUAAACUAAGUGCACAUUGCUUGGACAUGCCCAACAUGCACAAACAAUGACACCACAGCUACCCAAGAAAUUAAAUGGUCCCCAAUUAAGUUUCUUUCGUGGUUCCAUGGUUUCGACAUGUAACCACUCCAGAAAACCACCGCGAUCACUCCCCUAGACCGCCGUUUGGACGAUCAUGCUCUCACAGCUCACACUUACCAGGGCGUAGGUGCGACGUUGCAUGAUUUAAAUCUAGCGACAUAUGUGGCUAAUUCACAUAUGAAGGCUACCUCCACCAGUAGACCACAGGGUAGCAUAGUGCGGUCAUCACACAUCCAUACCUGAGUACUGCCGGAGAUGCAUAAAUAAAACCCCCAAGUCAGUACUUAAUAGCCACCUAGAGUCCUUAUGUGGGCAAGGAGGAUUCGACCAAUGGCAUAACCUAAUUAUUUAUUUUACACCAUUUUAUUUAAAAACUCUUUUGUUUUAAAUACACAAACGCUGCAUUUAUAAUACUGAACUUGCUCCGAUGCCAGCUGUCACAGAACUGACCAAAUUAUAAGAGUUCAAGUGCAGAAACGAUCGCCAAGCAAUCAAGUUUCCAAACUUGAGCCCAUAUAAUCCCGGUAGUCAAUUGAAAUCACGAAGGACUUCAAACCAACUUGCAACAAACCAAGAUCGUAAUAGUCCAACAUAAACACAGCGAAUGUUACAUAGUCAUUCAUUGCCGUCGAUGCGGCACCACAUCGGAGUUAUUAAGUUAUUACAACACAAGUUCGAAGUAGCGGAAGCAAAAUAGUUACACACACUCGUUCAAAGUUCAGUUCACAAGUUUUGGUUAUGGCCAGAGUCUACACCAUCCUUCCAAAAGCAUCAGAUACAAAGUUGUUAGAGAACCGUGCCUAACGGUUAGUCCUCAUCCCCAGCGGGAUGGAGACAGGUCUUGCAGAAGCCGUCAUAAAAGAUGUCAUCUGCAACAGGUGGGAAUAAACCCUGAGUACAAGAAUGUACUAAGCUAGACUUACCCGUCUAGUACAACAUAAAAGACACCGAGGAUCAUGCAAGGCUAAAUAUCAAGUGGAGCUGGUUGACUCAUCUUUUGCCAAAAGCUUAACUUACAACUAAGUUAUUUUGAGAGCAUCAUAUUUAUUUAUUAUCAGUCUACAACUAGAUUAGCACCUGUACUACAACACAUCACUUGAUUAUUAAAAACAAUAAUAACCAUAUCAAAUUCAUCAUAUGUUUCUUCUUGCUAUCAUUAUUAUCAUGAACCAAAUUCAUUAGUGAGUGCUACGUUUGUCGCUGCUCUGUCAAGUUCUCACUAACCGGGAGAGACGGCGAUUCGAAUCGAAUUCCUAUCCAGCUGGAGGGUUAUUCCUAGCACUCACCCAAGCAUCCCCUGCCGGAGAGCCAACGGGUCACCUUUGGUACAACUCAGGAAUCGCGGCUCCGAUCAGCGCCGCACUCCCAGGGCUACCACUCUGCCAGGGAGGUCAGGAAUUUUAACUCACUUGCCUUUGGACUUACGCGAAUGGUCCCCCGCACACCGCACUUCCUCCGGUAGUGCGCACUUUAUACUUGCCGGUCUUCCGGCCUGAGUCAGACUACUCGGCUUCGCGGUCGGAACGAGUUAUCCGGCCAACUAAGUGACAAGAGGACGUACAACGAUCGGUCCUUAGCUGCCACAGACGGAGUUACUACAAACUUGCAAAACUCCGCCCGGCUUAAGUCAAUUUAAUCAGGUUCCAUCCACGAUAGCACAUAUAGACCAUCGUGAUCCGACAUAACCCUAUAUCGCGCAGGUGACAGGAUAUCACCCGACUUCUACCGAUUAAAGCAUGGCUAGGCCGCUACUCGAUCCUAACUCUACAACCAGGGUAGGAUGAAUUAUCUGGACAAGGAUGGAAUAAAGUGCAGCAAAAGUUUCAUCACAACUCCUAUACGUAAUGCAUCAAUAGAUAUAACAUAUUAAGUAAACUUUCGAAAAAAAAGGGAGACUUAGAAUGCUCCGGGGCUUGCCUUUCACGAACGACGCCGGCUCGUGAUUCGGGCACUCAACUUCUUCUUCGGGCUCUUCGAGUCCGGCUUGCUGAACCUCCACCUCUUGGCUGCCCUCCUGACCGUCGGGAUUCACUUGCAGCUCGUAGGAGGCUGUCGCGUCCGAUGCACCUAUUGCAUGCUCGAACGAUAAGAAGAUGCAAAUGCUAAAGAUGAAUACUUGAUAACAUAAGUAACUCACUGGACACUCAUUUACGGAGCAAAAGUUAUACAAGCUCACACAAGUAAAUAAGUUACCUUAGCCCAAAACCUAUCAUGAUACUAAAACAGCAAGCAACACCAAACAAGAGUAACCUGGUAAAUAAAUCAUAACUAAUGAUAGACAGAUCCAACAAAAAUAAAUAAAGACAUUCUGGAAAGCUUAUGAAAUUGUCUACAAAUCCUCUUUAAACAUCACAGCAUGAUUCAUAUAUUAAACCAGUCAUUUAAACAAGGUUCCAGGUUCUGUCCCAGAAAAACAGAGAGCACCUAUUUCUGGAACCCAACUUGGAACAGCCAUAACUUUUAAACUAUUGGACUAAAUGAUCCCAAAUUUAAACCACAGCUAGUUCAAUAAGUUUACUACAACUUUGAUUUAGACAAGUUGCCCAUAAAACCAAAUUAUCAUUAAGCAAAAGUUAAAUUGCUCCCUUGCUGUCCAGAACAGCCUUUAACCCUAUAAUUAAUUAUUUAAUAACAUGACCAAAACACAAACCAUGCCAACUACAAGGCUUAGGAGCACAAGCAUAUCACAAGGUUACCAGAAUACCACAUGAAAACCCCCAAACAUUUACUUAACAAGGCAUUUAUUAAUUAAUUCUAGAAAAGAGCAUAAUUACAAGAUGCUUAGUCAAGGUGCUCAGAAAAAUCUACAAAAAUUACAGAAGUACAAGGAUAGCAUCCAAGCAUCACUAUAAAAAUUUCACAGCAAAAGCACAUACUAAAUUAAAGAUAUGUAUUUAACAUGUAACUAGGUGUUUAUUUCAUAAAUUCAGAAACAUGACUUAUAUGGUACCAAACAACAGAUUUCAGAUUAUUUAUACCUUAGGAAUACCAUAAACAUGUUUACUACCAACGUAGAACACCAGCAUAAGCACCAAUUAUUUUAUAUAAUUUAAUUAAUGAAACAAGCCAAAUUUCAAUCAUAACAUACAUAUUAAAUCUGCAGUACUCCAAAAAUCAUGAAAUAUUUACCACAGCACUAUAAUACCAUACAGAGACUACCAUAAAAUUUUCAUGGCAAAGUAAACAGUAUAACAAGAUAUAUGAAUUUCUCCAUGAAUAACAAGAUUAAAUCCUUAAUAAAUAUUUUCCGAGAAAACAUGGUUCAUUUUAUAUUUUUAUUAAAAACUAGCCAUCUCAAGGAAUACCACAAAGUUUGUUUCACAAUUUUUGGAUCUCAGAAACAGGAGAUAUGAUUUUUGCAAGAAAGCCAAAAAUCAGGAUUUUGAAUAAAAGAAAAGGAGGGAAGGAGAGUGACGCUGACAGUGGACCCCGCCUGUCAGGGUCAUCGUCCUCACGGCCGAUGCGACUCUCGCCGGCGAUUUCUCCACGACGGCGAGGUCUUCGGCCAAACCAAGGGCAUCAGCGUGAUCCCCAAACCCUAGCAACUCGAUUGACCCCCUUUUUCCCACGGCGGAGCCACCGGAAGGGGCACGCCGUCGACGAUGGCGGCUCGGCGGAGGUGCUCGGCGUUACACCGGAGCCCUCAGGCCGGUAGAGCGCGACCUAAGGCCUUCUACAGCACCAGCGGACUACCGCGAAGCUUCCUAGGUACGCAGCUAGGCUUGGAUCCUCGUGGAACACGCUGGCCACGAGAGCACCCAUCUCCGGCGGAAGCACAGCGGCGCUGCGCACCGUGUCCGGCGACGGAGAGCUUGGUAGAGCGUCCACCAUGUGGCGCAAAAGCUCGCUAAGAACCUAAGCAACCUCUAGGAUCUAACCAAAGACGACGAGAGGCUUCACAGGAUUCGGCAUUGGGCUCGCCGGAAAAGAUGGUCACGGCGACCCGAUUUGGGGGAAGAAGGAAAUGUCGGCUCACCGGUGGUUUUCUCGGCGAGUUAGAGGGUGGAGAAUGGAGAGCGGUUUACGGCGGAGCUGUGGGUGGAGUUUGGUGAGCAAAGGCGCAGCAAGGAGCGUGCGCGAGCUCGCCGGAGUAGGCUCGCGAAGGAGAGCUCCCGGCGGCCGCGUUUCUAGCGAGAAAGGGCGAGGCAGAGCGAAGUGGACGCGUCCACUCUGCGCGGGGCGCCGCCGUGGAUGUCAUGCACGCGAAGAGAGCUGACAAGCGGGGCCAGGAACGGCGUACGGGCGCCAAAUGUCGACGGAGCUCUGCCGCCGGUUGGCCACGUCGACGAGCUCGGUUUCGAUUUAGAAGAAACGAUGACAGUCUGACAGAGCAACUUCACCGAUGAUUAUCUCCCAAACCAGCCCGAGUUAGAAGAUGAUGCAGUUGACAAAGUUGGAGUUCCAAUCGAGAUCUAUGACUUUGUCAACUAGAGCAAAGGCCAGAUCGGCCGUGAUUGAGAGAUAUAGAGUUUCCAAAAUCGAUCGAGCAAACUGGUUUUGUUCCACGACUUAAAAAUUUUUCUAAGUGUUGGAAACAGCCCGAAAUCUGCCUUGUGGGCCACUUUUGAGCUAUUUUUGAUCAUUUUCAUGAGAUGGCCAUAAAACAACUUUUGUUCCUUAUAAAAUUUUCUACAACUUUGCUGUAGGAAGUUUUGACAUGCAAACAUUUUAUGAAACACUUUUUAAAAGCCUAAGCAAAAGAGGUUUCUAGGGCCUAUUUGCACAAGUAUGACUUAAGUGAUUAUUUUGAGGAAGUGAUCAACAUGAACAUUGUUCCCAAGGUUAUGUUAAGAAUAGAUAAACUAAUUACCAAAGCAUUGAGCACAAACACAAGCAUGGUUCACUCAAACAUAAGCAUAGGAAGCCUAUUUAAGUAAUUUAAAACACAUUUUUGCAUAGAAUGACAUGGCUCAAGAGAGAUGAUGAUCAUGAUAUGCUUUGAGUAGAUGAUGAUGCUCAUGCUAUGCACAUGAUUGAUGCAACCAUAACACUGGGGUGUUACAACUAAUGCCCCUGCUCAUUUCAUGUACCUGAUGAAUUCGGUGUUCAUGCCUGAACUGGAUAAGUUUGUGGUGGUGUUCAUCGAUGACAUCCUGGUGUAUUCUGAAAAUGCCCAAGACCAUGAGAAGCACCUUCGGAUUGUACUCAAUAGAUUGCGAGAACAUCAGCUUUAUGCCAAGUUCAGUAAGUGUGAGUUUUGGCUGAAGAAAGUGCCUUUCCUAGGCCAUAUUUUAUCCGAAGACGGUAUUUCUAUUGACCCGUCAAAGGUGGAGGAGGUUCUAGACUAGAAGGCCCCGACUUCAGUACAUGAGGUUCGGAGUUUUCUCGGUCUAGCUGGAUAUUAUCGUCGCUUUAUUCCAGACUUGUCCAAAAUAGCUAAGCCUAUGACCAAGCUACUACAGAAAGAUGUGAAGUUUGUAUGGUCUCAGGAGUGUGAAGUCGCUUUCACCGCUUUGCGCCAUUUGCUGACCACUGCUUCUGUUCUGGCACAGCCUGACAUUGAAAAGCCAUUUGAUGUCUUUUGUGAUUCAUCUGGCACUGGCUUAGGCUGCAUACUUAUGCAAGAAGGCUGAGUCAUUGCCUAUGCCUCUCGGCAGCUGAUGAAGCAUGAAGCUAACUACCCGACUCAUAUCUAGAGUUAGCAUUGAAACUCUAGGGGCAUUAUCUGUUGGGUAAUCUGUGUCACAUUUAUACUGACCAUAAGAGCCUCAAAUAUAUCUUCACCUAGCCUGAGUUAAACAUAAGACAAAGAAGAUGGUUGGAGUUGAUCAAAUAUUAUAAUUUUGAAGUGCACUAUCAUCCCAGCAAAGCCAAUGUUGUAGCCGACGCUCAUAGCCGGAAACAACAUGUUUGACCUCUCUUAGAGGAAGGUUUCAAUCUAUUGCCUCCUGUGGUUCUACACAAUAUUGUAGUCAGUUGUUCGUUAGAGAGUCAAAUUAUAGAGCUCCAAAAGACUGACCCGGGUAUCUUCCAUAUCAAGAGAAAAAUGAAAGAGCAAGGCACCAAGCAUUUAAGGGUAGAUGAAAAAGGUGUACUGUGGUUUGAUGAUCGACUAGUUGUACCCAAAGACCGUGACCUACGCAAUAAAAUCUUAGAUGAAGCUCAUUCCUCUAAGUUGUCCAUUCAUCCUGGUAGUAGCAAAAUGUAUCAAGACUUGAAACCUCAUUUCUGGUGGACCAAGAUGAAGAAGGAAAUAGCAGCUUAUGUUGCUAGGUGUGAUACUUGCUGCAGGGUAAAGGCAGUUCACCUUAAACCCGUAGGUUCAUUGCAACCUUUGUCGAUUCCGGGUUGGAAGUGGGAAGAGAUCAGCAUGUAUUUCAUUGUUGGAUUUCCCCCUACUCAAAAAGGGCACAAUUCCAUAUGGGUGAUUGUUGAUCGCUUGACCAAGUCAGCUCAUUUCAUUCCCGUACAUUCUACAUACCGACCAUCCGACUAUGCUGAGUUGUACUUCUCUCAGAUCGUUAAGUUGCAUGGAGUGCCCCGCACCAUUAUUUCUGAUAGAGGUCCUCAGUUCACUACCCGCUUUUGGGAACAUUUGCAUUCGCUCCUUGGUACAACGUUGGUUCGCAGUUCAGCCUAUCAUCCUCAGACCUCCGGUCAGACUGAUUGUGUGAAUCAAAUCUUGGAGGAUAUGUUGAGGGCAUGUGUCAUCUCUUCCAAGGGUGCCUAGGAGAAGUGGAUACCCUUAGCUGAAUUCUCCUACAAUAAUAGCUGUCAAGAGAGUAUUCAAAUUGCUCCUUUUGAAGCUUUGUAUGGCCGCAAAUGUAGAACUCCUCUAAACUGGGUCGAACCCGGUGAAAGGAGGUACUACGGAAUUGACUUUGUCAAGGAAGUCGAAAAGCAAGUUCUCAUUAUCCAAAAACACAUGGAAGCCGCCCAAGCUACGCAGAAAAGCUAUGCUGACCGAAGAAGAAGACCACUCGAGUUUGAAGUAGGUGACUUUGUGUACCUAAAGGUAUCACCCAUGAAGGGAGUGAAUCGCUUCGGCGUAAAGAGGAAGCUCGCUCCUAGGUAUGUGGGUCCCUACCAAAUCAUUGAGAAGAGCGGCAAAGUGGCUUAUAAGGUACAGCUACCUCUAGAAAUGAGAGCUAUUUUCCCUGUAUUCCAUGUGUCCCAACUCAAGAAGUGCCUUCGCGUGCCUGAAGAAAGAGUUGAAACAGGAGGUCUUAAGUUGCAGUCAGAUCUAUCUUUUGAGGAGACACCUGUACAAGUUCUUGAUGUCAAAGAAAGAGUUACUCGAGGGAGGGUUAUUAAACUUUUUAGAGUUUUGUGGAACCUCCAAAGUGAAAGAGAUGCCAGUUGGGAAAGGGAAGACUAUUUACAAGUAACUUACCCCUCAUUCUAUGAAAAAUGGUACGUCUCUCAAAUCUCGGGACGAGAUUUUUGUAAGGAGGGAGGGCUGUAACACUCCUAGUGUUAGCUUGCAUGUUAACCAUGAGCAUUGCAUCAACAUAAGCAUCAUCAUGCUCAUUCAUAAGCAUCAUAUCAUGAUCACAUGUCAUCUUAUGUAUACCAUGUGUGAUUGACUUGCUAUGUGACUUGCUAUAUGUGAUAGUAAUGUGUGACCAAUGCAUGUAAGUGCACAUUGUGUUCCAAAAUACCUUAAUCAUGUUUAGAAUAUCAUUUUGAACAAAGUUUGUGUUGGAGGUUUCACCCAAAAAUGCCCCUAAGUCAUGGUUAGCCCUAGGUUGACCUAGUUGACCCCCCUAAACCUCUUUUCAAAGACCUUUUAUGAAACCUGUGUUAGUUACCUUGCAUGUAAAUGACAUCUAAAGCAAAGUUGUAGUAAAUUUCAUAAGCUACAAAAGUUGUGCUGAUGACUUUUUUUGCAAAUGCUUGGAACACAUACAAAAUUAGCUCACAAGGCAAAAAUCAGGGCUGUUUCCACACUUAGCCAAAUUUGCCUAAGUCUGAGUCGACACAGUUUCGAGGUAGGGUACUUGGGAGCUUUGUAGUUUGAAAUCCAAGCCGAUUUAGACCUGGAUCCUUUAAGCAAAUUUGUAGAACUCAUGUAGCUCUAUCCAAUGGAAUAAAUCCGAGCCAAAACCACUGAGUGAAUCUCGAGUAAAAUGUUGACGAAGUUGGAGUUUCAGUCACUGCGAUCGGGCGAUUCAGACACCGAUUCAGUUUGGACAGUCGCCGUCCGCUGCCGUGUGUCCGGCCAGGUGUCGACCGUACGCCACCGAUGACCCUGUCUAUCAGCCCCAAUGUCGUCCACAAGUCGCCACGCACCGGAUGGACGCCUCAGACGCGCCAUUCACCCCUCCAGCGCUCCACAUUUCGCUCCGCCAUCGCCUCGGCGAGCUCUCCCAGCCGCAUCACCGCAUCUCCGGCCAAGCCAGCCCGCCCAGAGCUCCGCCACAAUGUCCUCUACCUCGACGUCCACCUCUUUUCCUUAGCUAAGCACUGGUGAGGCCGCAUUGACAACUCCGUCGCGAGCUCCACCUCGCCGGAGUUCGCAGAGAUCACCGACAACGUGGCCAAACCUCUCUGGUCCACCUCUGGCCGUGAUUCUUCUUCCUACAGCUUCGCCUUGCUUCACUCUUGCUCGUCCGCAACCUCUACUGCGUCGUCAUUGCCUAGGUUCGCCGUCGUAACGCCGCGCAGCGCCACCGUUCCGCCAUUCGCGACGGCGAGCACCCUAGAGUCCCGUAGAGCGUGAGCCAAGUAGGUCAACAGGUUCGCCUCGAGGUGAGGAACACGUAGAUGCCCUCGGGUUCCCCGGAGACCACACUGUCGUCGAGAUUCACCGGCGACGAGCUCGUCUCUGCUCUCUGUCUCUCUGUCGCGUGGGUCCCAUCUGUCAGCAGGCCCCACCCGUCAGCCUCUAACCCUCUCCACUCUGGUUCACUGUUUUGCAGACCCUGUGUUGUUUUUGUAAAAUUCAUAACUUGGGCUAGACAGAAGUGAUUCCAAUUUUGUUAGAUUCUUGAGUUAGUCUAGUUUUUAUUAAAAAUAUAAAACAUGCCAUGUUUUUGCAGAAAUAAUUAGAUAUGAUUUAAUCUUGGUUAAAUAGGAGGUAAUUAUAUCUUGAGACCUGUGAGUCUUAUGGCCAUGCAAAUUUAGGAUAUUGUUAUAUAUGGCAUGAAUAGGCUCUGAUAAAUAUAUCAUGAUUUUUGGAUGACUGUUGGUGAAGUUAUAAUUAGUUCUUGUUUAAAUAGGAGUUUCUUGUGGUAUUUUUAGUAAAUAGAUUAUAACUCCUUUUCUGAUGAAACUUGUUGAGUGAUGUAACUAUGUACAAACAAAGAUAAGAAAAUUCUGAAAUCUGUUGUUUGACACAUUUUGAUAAGGUUUCACAUUUAUGCCUUUAAUUCCGUUAUUAGCUUGUCAUUUUUGUAUCUCACAAUCUACAUGUGCAAGAGCCCUGAAAACUUUACAGUAACCUUGCGGUAGCUUAGAUAGCGUGCCAUAAUUUUAUUAGAAUGUUUGGAGCACUUGUGAUAUAUGCUCAUUAACUCAUCUUAAUAAUUCAAUAAAUAGAAAACGGGAUAAUAAAAAUGAGUUUAAACCUUGCCAUGAUGUUUUCUGGUGUUUCUUAGACAUUUUCUAUCUACUAGUGCAUUUGGUUUGAACCAAUGUUAAAUUCUUAGUAUGUGUUAAAAUAUUAUUUUGCUAAUUAUGUCUUCCUAGAGCAUAUUCUGUGUAGCUGAUAGCGAUUGUUUAAGUACUGCUUGAAGAUGAGGUUUUCUGGAAAACUUGUCUAUAACAAACUUGUAGCUAACUCACUUAUCUACCAUGUGUCCAUAUUUCAUGACAUUUGGCUGAGUAGUUUAAGAGUUGUGAUUGUUACAAGAAGCUGCUGCGAAGUGCUUGCUCUCUGGAUUUUCCAGGACAGCCAGCAAACUUUGCCUAUUUCAACCUAUUUUGGGUGGGAAUCCUUCUGGGAUGUAUAAAAAUGAAUUGUAGACAAUUUGUUAAGCUUUCCAGAAAGUAUCUACUUACUUAGUUUGGCCAACUGAUGCCUAAGUUAUAGCUGAAACUUGUGACUAGCUAAUCUGUCCUUGACACCAGUUGAUAAGUGUGAAUAGCUAAGGUUGAGUAGCUUGCCUAGUUAGUCUCUCUAUCAGAGAAGAAGUAUGCACUUACUUAGCCAUGAUUCACUUACUCUUAGAAACUUGUGAUCAUGUUGCCUCUUGUUUCAUGUUCUUUGGUUUAUCCUCAUGGCAUCAUGCAUCAUGUGUGCAUUCCCUAUAUUUAUUACCCUGUCAUGAAUACUUAGGUGUACCCAAGGGCGUGACGGUUGUGGAGUUCGCACCACCCAAGCCGGAGGAGCAGCAGGGGGAGCCACCUCAAGGAGCUGAGGAGGAGGAGGAUCUACCGGAGUGUCCCGACCAUCGUCUCUCAAGCUACGUUGAAGGCAAGCCCCGGAGCAUUAUAAGCCUCCUACUAUUUUUGUUAUCAUGUCCAGCUCUCAAUUAACUAUGGUUAUGUAUUGUUGCAUUAAGUGCUAGGCGUUGCUAUGACACCCUUGCUGCAUAAUGAUUUCCUUGUCCACCUUAUACCUUACCCAAGUAGGUCCAGGAUUGAAAUGAUGCUUAGCCAUGCUUAGCUCGAUAGAAGCCGGGUGAUUUCCUAUCACCUGCGAGAGAUAGGUGGAUACUUGAUCACGAUUGGCUAUAUUUGCUAUCGUGGAAAUAACCAUGGUUAAUAAUGAAUGAGACCAGACAAGAUGACAAUAGUGCAGCAACAAGGCAUGGAGGUCUUGGGCGUGAAUCUAUCCCCGUCUGUGUCGGUUAAGGACCGAUUCACUGUACGUCCUUGUGUCAUGUUGAACGCAAACCUAACACUUAGUUGGCCGGAUAAGUCGUUCCGACCGCGAAGCCUACGAGUGCAACUCAGGCCGGAUACCCCCAUUCUGUAUGAGUGCGCACCCCGGUUGGUAGCAAGGAUGUGCGGGGAGUCAAUGGCGUAAGACCAAGGUGCCAGGUUAGAGUCCUGCCCUUGGCAGAUUGGCGGUCCCUGGGGUGCGGCGCUGGACGGACCCGCGAAUUGGUCUAGAGUUGUGCUAAAGGUGAUCCGAGCUGCCCUCACGAGGUAUGCUUGGGUGAGUGCUGGGAAUACCCCUCCAGCUGGAUAGGAAUCGAUUCGAAUCGCCGUCUCUCCCGGAUAGUGAGAACUUGACUCGAGCAGCAGCAACGUAGAACUCACUAAAUAAACUUAAUGGUUAAGUUGAGAAUGCUGAUAGCUAUGUGAUAAUCCGGAUAUGGUUAUUAUUGUGAUGCUUAAAUACUCAAGUGUAUGCUUAGAACAAGUGCUAAUCUAGUGGAUAGCUGAUCUAAGUAAUUAACUUGCUGCUGAAAUUGUUAUAUGUGUUACUCAAAAACUAAAGCUUUUAUGCAAAAGGUGAGUCAAACCAGCCCACAAAUGUUAGCCUUGCAUACUCCUUGGUGUCACUUUAUUUUGGGUUUAUGACGGGUAAGUCUAGCUGAAUACAUUCUCGUACUCAGGGUUUUAUUUACCCUUGUUGCAGAUGAUGUCGUUUAUCAUGGCUACUGUGCUAACUGUCAUCAUCCGGCUGCGGAUGAUGAGUAGAUCGUGGGCAAGAUCACUCUAUUCUCUUCAGUUGUGCUUUUGUGGGAAUGACUAUGGAACUGGCAUGUAAUUGAACUAAGUGCGUGUGUUGUUUAAAACUACUUUGCUUCUGCUACUGAACUAUGUUGUAAUAAAUCUAUUUGAACUCCGAUGUGUUGUAAACUAUGUUCUGUGAUGAAUGUGUGUAAUCUAUGAUGGAGAUGCUUGAUCAUGUACGGUCUUGGUUUUAUGUUAGUUGAAUCGAGAUCUUUUGAGGUUUCAUCGGACUACCGGGUUUAUAUGGGUUCAAGUCCACUGGCUUGACUGCUCUCGUGGUCACUAAUUUAGUUCAAUUCUUCUAAAUUGGACGGUUCUGUUACAGUUUGGUUAUAGGUUAUGAUUACUCCCGGUACACCUGAACAUUCUUCUUGCAAGACAAGGCCAAAGUUGCAUCAAUAUUCAAGAAGUUUGCAAAGAAUGCCCAAAAUCAAUUUGAUGUCAAGAUCAAGAAAAUAAGGAGUGACGAUGGGAAAGAGUUUGACAACACCAACAUUGAAGAAUAUUGUGAUGGAGUUGGAAUCAAACAUGAGUUCUCCUCAACAUACACACCACAACAAAAUGGGGUAGUAGAAAGAAAGAACCGGACAUUGAUCACCUUGGCAAGAACCAUGCUUGAUGAGUACAACACUUCAGAGAAGAUGUGGGCUGAGGCAAUCAACACCGCAUGCUAUGCAUCAAACCGGCUCUUUCCUCACAAGUUCCUAGAGAAGACACCAUAUGAGUUGCUCAAUGGGAAGAAGCCCGAUGUCUCAUUCUUUAGAGUGUUUGGGUGCAGACGCUACAUCUACAAGAAGCACCAACACUUGGCCCAGUUCCAAAGAAGAUGUGACAUUGGCUACUUGGCUAUUCAUCAAAGUCCAAGGCUUAUAGGGUCUUUAACCAUGCCACAAACAUGGUUGAAGAAACAUUUUAUGUUGAAUUUGAUGAAACUAAUGGCUCCUAAGGAGCAAGUGAUAAUCUUGAUGAUGUAGGUGGUGAACCAUUGAGGGAUGCCAUGAAGGACAUGCCGGUGGGAGAUAUCAAGCCAAAAGAGGAUGAUAAUGUGCAAACCAUUGAUCCACCAUCCUCCUCUCAUGUGCCACAAGAUGAGGACAAAGAUGUGAGAGAUGCUCAUGAAGACACACAAGUCACUCAUGAGCAAGCGGUGGCACAAGCUCAAGAUGUUGAUGCUCCCUAAGCAACCCCUCAAGUGGCAUCAAGAAGAUCAUCACAUCUCCUCCAAGAUCACUCUCAAGAUCUCAUCAUCGGGAAUCCAUCACGUGGUGUAACUACACGCUCUAGACAUGCUUUAUUUAUUGAACAUCACACUUUUGUGUCUCUUGAAGAUGAACCCAAAACCAUAGAGGAAGCUCUUUGGGAUGCGGAUUGGAUCAUUGCUAUGCAAGAGGAGUUAAACAACUUCUCCCACAAUCAAGUAUGGAUACUUGAAGAGCGACCCAAAGAUGCAAGAGUGAUUGGAACAAAGUUGGUCUUUCGGAACAAGAAGGAUGAUCAAGGCAAGGUGGUGCACAACAAGGCAAGGCUCGUGGCAAAAGGCUUUUCACAAGUGGAAGGUCUUGACUUCGGUGAAACCUUUGCACCGGUAGCAAGACUUGAAGCUAUCCGUAUCCUACUUGCAUAUGCAUCAAGUCAUGACAUAAAGUUGUUUCAAAUGGAUGUGAAAAGUGCCUUUUUAAAUGGUUACAUUAAUGAGCUUGUCUAUGUUGAGCAACCCCCUGGAUUUGAAGACCCUAGGUACCCCAAGCAUGUCUACCAAUUGUCCAAGGUGCUCUAUGGUCUCAAGCAAGCACCUAGAGCUUGGUAUGACAGGCUUAGGGACUUCCUCAUUAAGAAGGGCUUCAAAAUUGGGAAAGUUGACACAACACUCUUCACUAAUAAAAUGAAUGGGGAAAUCUUUAUUUUCCGAGUUUAUGUUGAUGAUAUUAUUUUUGGCUCCACUAAUGAAGAUUUUUGAAAGGAAUUUGGUGAUUUGAUGUCCAAGGAGUUUGAGAUGUCCAUGAUUGGCGAGCGAUCCUUCUUCCUCGGAUUUCAAGUCAAGCAAAUGAAGGAAGGGGUCUUCAUCUCUCAAGAGAAGUACACUCAAGAUCUUCUCAAGAGGUUCAAGAUGAUGGAUUGCAAGCCAAUCAAGACUCCCAUGGCAUCAAAUGGGCAUCUCGACUUGGAUGAGGGAGGUAACCCAGUUGACAAAACUCUCUAUCGCUCCAUGAUAGGAUGUUUACUUUACCUCACCGCAUCUAGGCCCAAUAUCAUGUUUAGUGUAUGUAUGUGUGCUAGAUAUCAAGCUAUGUGUUGACGGUCCUCAAGUGCCAAAUUCAACCGUCAACUAAACAUGGAAAAGGAUCAAUAUGCACCAAACACGUAGAAUUAGUGUUUAAUCUGACAGAAUUCCAUGAGUUUUGGUGUUUGUCUAUUUCUGUAGGGGAUUAUCAGAAAAUAUAGAAGGAAGGCCCACACAUUGGGUUUACAACGAGAUAAUUACGUGCGUGGCAAUUUUCCUCAACCUAGAAGAGUCCAGAAGCCACGAGAGCGAACGGGCCAGGAGGCCGGACGGGCCGGGGGCAGGGUGCCUGUCCAACCCCCUUGGUCGCCCGCCCAGCUACAGGGGCCAAUCAGGCUCCGUCUCCUGGAUCAUGCUCCACCGCCUCUAAUCUUCAAGGAAAACCGUGCGGUUAAGGUCGGUUUGAUCCGACGACCCACGUUCAUUUGAGGGGGCUAUAUAAGCAAGACCUCUCCACCCCAGGGGGAGAGGAGAAAUCAUUAUUAGAGGAAGCCAUCAAGUUAGGGUUUAGAAACUUCUCUCCUGCAGAGAAUUAGAAUUAGCUACUCUCAAUUCCUUCCAGUUCUAUAGGAUUGAUUAGAUAGAAUUAGAGAAGUAGAGCCUAGCGCUCUGGAUUUCGGAUCUUCAUCAAUAAAGAUUGGUAUUAUUUCAUAUCUUUCUCUACGACUUUAUUCUAAUUGCAUUAUGUCUCUAUUUAUUAUGAUCUUAGUUUGCUCUAGUUCUAUAUUUGAUAUAGUUAUAAUUGAUAAUGAGUUUAUGUAUAUGUUUGCAAAGCACUUAGCUCUUGACACGUGGGAGCUAUGUGGUAGAUCAUAUGUGGGCGUGGUGCUUAGAUAUUAUUUACCUGCAAAUGUAUCCUAUUGGCCAGGUUGUGUGGUAGUUCGCGAUGGUGACAGCUUCGUUGAUUCUUAUAUAGUCCACCCUCCAUUAUUAGGACAGUCAGAAUUCGUAUUGCAGAGUAAGUCUUGCUAUUUUCUGAUUUACUUUCGCAAUUUUCCUUAUACAUGAAUGAAGAGUCUUUUGUGCUAUAUAUGAUCUUGUAGAUGCCAAGAGUAGAUUGUGACUUAGUAGAUAUUAGAUACUUACAAUCCAUUCUCUAGCUAAUCCGACGUCACCUUACAUUUAUAUGGAGUAGUCUAUUUCUAAUCGUUGUGUUAUUUACCCAUGAGCUAUACUUCAUUAUCUUUAUUAUUAUGGCUUACCCCCUGCCAAAGCAAGUGACUGUGUGAUGAGUUUCUCAUUAGUAAUCAUGUUCUUACAAGUUUAUCUCUAGUCUAUGCCUUGAUAGAUUUUACCCCUGUUUUCACUUUCACCAUUCUCUUAAGCAAAAUUAUAAAUAACGAUACCCAGAAUACUUUUCCUGGUGAAAUGCUACAAUGAGGUAUUUUAUCUGUGCGCUUGCGGAUAGAAUAGAUUAUUUUCUAGAGAGCCUUCAUGUUCAUAAAUACCUUAGUACACUCUAGUGUCAUGCUAGGGAUGACAACCUAGUAUUGAAGUGGUGUUAGCAUGUGUCAACAAGCCUUUUUGGCACCGUUGCCGGGGAACGGUAAGGAAAGUUAGUAAGUCGGUCAAGGUUACGCACAUAAAAUAUUAGACUAGACUAUAGAGAAAUAAGUGCAUGAACAGCUACUGUAAAAAUGAGAAAUCAUAACAAGGCACCUCUGCUUUGGCAGGUUCACCCUAUUGUUUUUCUAUGUUUAUAUUUUUAUACAGGGUAUAUCAGGAUUGACUUUGGUACAUUCAACUCUUCAUCAUCAGAACCAAAGCAAUCAAGAAAGAAGCUAGCCACCAAUUGUUGAAGCUAUGGCACAGAAGACCCUACAAGAAUUCUUUGCUCCAAGCCUUGAGAACAUUCCAACUGGUCCAAGAUUUGAAGUAGAAGAAGGAGCACCCGAGUUCGAGCUCAAGUCAAGCCUCGUCAAUUUGGUGCAAGCUACACAAUUCAGUGGAAAGGCACAAGUUGACAAAGAUGCCAUACUGCUUCGCCUCUUUCCAUUCUCACUAGAAGGAAGACCAAGGAAGUGGUUCUACACCAAUCAAGAAAACAUCAACACUUGUACGAACUUGUCAGAUACCUUUCUAGCAAAGUUUUUCCCUAUAGGCAAAACAGUUGCCUUAAGAGGAAAUAUUGUCAGUUUCCAACAACAGAAGACAAACCAUUCCAGCAGCAUGAGAGUGUUUUCAAGGAUACAUAUCAGAUUGUCCUCACCAUGGAAUGGCCAGAUGGUUACUUAUGCAAACCAUCUACCAUGGAUUAACCCAAAAGUCUCGUGAGUGCUUAGAUGCAUCUGCUAAGGGAUAAUUUUUGGAUCUUACAAUUGGAAAAGCAGAGAUACUUUUGGACAGGAUAGCAGAAAACCAAAGCUUGUUCCAAGAUAAAGCUCAACAUUGUCAUCAAACUGAAGAAAUACCCGAAGAAGUAAAUGCACUAUCAACCAAGAUGGAAAAUUUGCUCCAUCGGCUUGACCAGUGAUGUGACCAUACCAAGGCAAUCAACAUUCAAGCAUCCACUCAAGGUGAAAGCUAAACUUAAUUCCAAAUCAUUUAGGUUUCCAUAUACAAGGCUACUACUUGGUUUAUAUGAUUAUAGAUUCAAACACCUUGCUAUCAUGGAACAAGAAGAUUGCGAUGUUAUCACAACAUUACAAACCGAUGGCCUAGCACAACUCUUUGGAUCAGAAGAGUUAGAGUCGAGGACGACUCCUUAUCAAGAGGGGGAGGAUGAUAUGACCAUGCCAGCAAGCAUGAUGUCACAAGCUCCAAGUCAAGCUACAACCACUCAAGUUUUACCUACACCGACACCAGCCCAAGUCAUCGAUGGACCAGUUACACGAAGUUAUGCAAAGAAGCUACAACAAGAGGUUCACGCGCUACUUUGUGAGGUUCACUUUAACAUUAAUGAGAAUUAUAUACUACCUAAGUGUUCUACAUUGAUUGUACUCAAGUAUAUAGAAGAAGAAAAGAAUGAAUCGGACCCUGAAGAACGGACCAGUGCAAGUCCUAGAAUACAAUACAAAACAGACCAGAGAGUCAAAAACAGACCAGUGGACGUCAAGAACGGACCAGUGCAAAGAAAUCUUCAUAACGUUUUACUCACAAAAGCUAUGAAGGCCCAUGAGGACUUGUUGGAAAGCUUAUCGAGUCUGCUUUCCAAUGCCUCAAGUCCCAUCUCAUUUGGACAAAGCAAUCAACAGUUAUGCUUGAAUUAGUCAAGACUGCUCAGAAGGUCAAUAGUCUAUCGUGACAGAAUGUUGGUACAAAUUACCGUGCAAAACUGUACCAAUAUACAAUGUUUGAUGGUUCAUGGCAUACAUUGCAGGGAAGAUCUUGGAGUCUAGUUUCACACCCAAGAAACGGUUCGUCAUUUGGACUUCCCAAUAAAAAGUUAUGGUCAGUUUAUUGGAAACUACUUUGGAGGCCAACAGUCACAUGAAGCCAGUUCGGGAAUCCAUUCCGAGGAGAACUUCCACAUUGCCUUUCCCCAGAAACUCUAUUUCGUUUUCAUACCUAUCUAGGAGGGUUGUUCCUAGUAUAAAUAUCCCCAACCUCUAAGCUAUCAGUAACUUUUGAUCAUUUGAUAAACUACAUGAUAUUGCAGCCGCGCUGCUGAGUGCCUUACUCAACAUUUGUUCUUCCUUGUUCUUCUUGGACUUGUGAAGUGAAUCCUCUGGGUUCCCCUACUUCGUGCUCUACGGCUUCCGUUCGGCUACGCCGUAUUGUGUGGAAUAGUUCCGAAUUGUGGUUCUACGGUCGUUCGGAGAUCGAGUUGAAGUCUUCAUGGUUUCGGUGCCUCUCUCCCCGUCGCUUGGUCGCAUCCAACCUUUGUCAGGUAUAAAGCUAGUUACCCGCUGUUCGCAGCAAGUUAUCCUUGUUCUUUUGAUCUACUGUCGUGAAGAUCGGGCCACCCUCGUACCGAUUCAUAUAGGUAACCUAUCAACUGGUAUCAAAGCUUUUGUUGUCACGGUAGGUCUCACAAUCAUCCACAUAUCUACCUUUAGUUUAUUUAUCGUUUGUUACUGUUUUAUUCAUCACCUAUAGUCCUCUGAAAAAGCCACAAAAAAUCCUAGAGCCCUUUGACGGUACUGUUAUCUUAUGUUUUGUGUUCAUCAAGUUGCUAGUCACCCUCUUUAUAUAUAUUGUGUUGUGUUUCAUUUGUUAUCGGCACCCCUGUUACUAAAAAAAAGAGUUCAAAAAAAAUAUAGAGAAAAAAAAAUCAGGGAAAGGAAAAGAGAAAGAACAGAAAAGUAGAAGAAGAGGAAAGGGGUUAUAUUGCGGUUUGCUUAGUGAAAAAUUUAGUUUAUAUAUUCAGAUUCUUGGUGAUUUAUAUAUCAGCAAUAUUAUAUCUUUUGAGCACAUCAAAUCACUUGAUUUUCAGUACCGUAGCCUCCCUUGUUUAGCCACCUAUAGCUCCACUCAAAAAAAAUGAAACCAGGACAUUCGACUCGUAAUCCUUGCGACCUCAGAAUCACUUUUGUUCAGCUGCUACACUAGCACAAUUAACUGUCCUUGAGAACAGGAAAGAGCAUUGGUAAGUAAAAGGUGAGAUUGUGUGAUUCCACAAAUUUACCCAUUCCACUAUAUCUUGCAUAAGUGCUAACAUGCCAGGAUCCAAUUCGAGCAUUCGCGGUGGUCGAUAUGGAGAAAAAGAAACAUCGGUUUCACGGGCUGAGUUAUGCCAACUACAAAACUCACUAGUGGAGGCCAUGGAGAAGAUGUUUGAUGAACGUCUUCCUAUGGUGCGCGGUCAGGCUAAACAACAUAGCUCAGCCAACUCUCGCCGUGGUCUCUUUGGCCAUAGUGGACAACAUGGAGGAGGUGCUCAUGGGCAUAGCAUUCGCACCCGUGUGCUCAUUGACGAAGAAGAUUACUGUGUGUCCCCCAAAAGAAAAAUUCAGCAAGGGUGCCAAGAGUUCAAUCAGGACUCGUUUCGGGGAUUAUGCUCCAAAGACCUAAAGGAUCAAGGAUAAUUGUUCAAUCAAUGUCGGUUUGAUCCGAUGGCCCAUAUUCACUUGGAAGGACUAUAAAACCAGACCCCCUGGCCCCUGGAGGAGGGCACCUCUCAACCCUAAUUCAUUAUUCAUCAGGGAGAAGAAGCCUCUGAUCAAGCCUAGAGCCACCACAUCAAUUAGAUAUCUAGAUUAGCAUAGGUACAGAGGAUUAGAACUAGAAGGAGUCAAUCUUCGAUUGGUUUCCGGAUCUGUCAAGAGGAUUCUUGGUAAUUCUCUAUUGUUCUUCAAUUGUUCAUCUUUGUUCUUCGAUAUUAUGAAUAUGACUUUGUUCUACUUCAAUAUAUUGAUUAUGACUUUGCCCUACUUGUUUAUAUUCGCAAUUAUAUUGUUCUUAGUUUAUCGUAGUUAUAUACUUGGCUUAGUUAGAUUGGAAUUAUAUACUUGUUUAGGAUCGUAUAGCGUUUAUCCAUCGGAUCCAUGGGUAAAUGAUAGAUAUGUGUAGGCAUGGUGCUUAUACCGUAUUUAUCUGCGAUUGUACCCUAUAUGCCAGAUCGUGGGGUAGUUCGUGGUAGUGACAGCUCCAUUGAUUCUUAUAUAGUCCCCCUCUCGUGUAUUGGGCUGGCAGAGCAACAUUAUUACAGGGGAGUGCUUGCGAUGUUUCUCAUAUUCCUUGAUAAUAUCACUAUGCAUGGGCGUAGUCCUGUCUCACAAUGAUUGUUAAGUAUAAUUGCACUAACUAUGAUAUGCUAGACUGUAUAGUUAAGAAUAAUUUAGGAAAUAUUCUUGUAGUUCGUCCUAAUACCAUGCUAAUGACUUGCUAGAAUAUCUAAUUGAGGUGCUUAUCAUAUUUAUAUGUGGCUAAGUUAUGCUGAUCAAAUUAAUUAUCUUUGUCAUCAUUCAUUACUUUAUAUAUCCUUUAUGUGACACUUAUCCCUGUAUGAAAGAGUUAGAUAAAUGUUCUCAAUUAUACAUGCAAUGAUAGAUACUCAAUCUUAUAUUCCAUUCUAUAAUCAACAUUGAUGAUUACAAAUCCCUUCCCAGUGGUAAAAAUAUAAAUAACGAUACCUGGAAUACUUCCCGGUUAAAAUGCUACAUCAGUAUUAAUCUGUGCGCUUGCAGAUUCCAUUCAUUAUUUAUUUAGAUGAGCAAUUGCAUAUUUCAAUACCGCAUCUCUCAUGUCAUGUUGGGGAGGAAAACUUGGCUUAAGUGGUAUGAGGGAUAGGUUUGGCAUUUUUGGCGCCGUUAUCAGAAUUAGAAAACUAAGUCUACUUUUGGUAAUGACGUUAAGAAUACCCAACAAGCAUUUUUGGCGCCAUUGCUGGGGAAGGUUGAUUACUAAUCAGGAAUGAAUAUAGGAUUUUGAGUCAUCAUUCGCAUCACUAAUAUGAUUGAGCAUAUCAAUUCUCUCAUACAGUUUUACCCAUAUAUUUUUCUAUUUUAUCUUAUGCAGGGGAAUGUAUGAAUAGAAGACAUCUUCGAGGAAAUUUUAUUGACAAUCCCGAAGCGUUAUUCAGAAAAACAAGAGCCAAGCUCAAAAAGAGAUCAUCAACACUUCAGCACGAAGCUUCAUCCAAUCAAGAAAAUCACCGGAACUUGUCUUCAAAGUUCGAAGUCGUGGUGAACAAAUCGAUCCGUGCGUUCACAGCUCCCACUACGGACAACAUCCGCACUGGACCUGCUGUAGAGAUCAAUGGCAACUUUGAGCUCAAGCCUGGACUUAUCAACAUGGUGCAAUCCAACCAGUUCUGUGGGAAGGCACACGAAGAUGCUAGUGCUCAUCUCCAACACUUCCUGGAGAUUUGCAACACAUUCACCAUAUCAGGAGUCCCCAGAGAUGCUAUACUACUUCGCCUCUUCCUGUUCUCACUGUUGGGGAGAGCGAAGCAGUGGUUCUACACUACAAAGGAGAAGAAUACUACGUGGGCACUCUGCUCCAUGAACUUUCUGGCUAAGUUCUUUCACAUGGGCAAGACCAAUGCUCUCCGUGGGAAGAUUACAAGUUUUCAGCAACAACAUGAUGAAUAUGUUCCAGAAGCAUGAGAGCGCUUCCAAGACUACAUCCUAGAAUGUCCCCAUCAUGGAAUGGAGAGGUGGCUACUGAUGCAGACGUUUUAUCAUGGGCUUAGCAACAGUGCCCGAGAAACCAUGGAUGCUGCAGCUGGAGGAGCAUUCCUAUCACUUACCAUAUCACAAGCCACAGCUCUUGUGGAGAAGAUGGCGUCCAACCAAAGCUAGAAUGAAGAAAGGACCCAGACACGCAAGAGAGGUGGAGGUAUACAUCAGCUCAAGGAGGUAGACAUGUUGUCUGCAAAGCUAGACCUGCUCAUGAAGAAGCUCAAUGAUGGAGCUGGAGAUAAGAAAGAAGUUAUGCACAUCUAUGACUCUCACAUGACUUGUGAGGAGUGUGGAGAUACUGGACAUUCAGGCAAUCACUACCCUGAGAUGCUUGAGGAUGUGAACUACAUCAACAACAACAACUACUACUACUACAACCGUCCUCAACAAAAUCAAGGUUGGAAUCAACAAAGGCCUAACUACUCAGGUAAUUAUCAAGGUAACAAUUCUUACAACAAUAAUAAUAAUAAUUUUCCACCUCUGAGAGAGUUAGUGUCUAAUCAAGGGAAGCUAAUGGAUAACCUAUCUAAGAAAUUGGCAUCUAAUGAUAAAAUGCUAGAAAAUAUAAAUAAUAGAAUGGAUAAUUUCUCUACUGCCAUCAAGAAUCAAAUUAGCUUUAAUAAAAUGAUUGAAUCUCAGUUAAAUCAAAUAGCUGUUGCUGUUCCUGCUACUAACCCCGGUAUACCAUCACAACCGGAAGGAUUAGAAUCUGCAAAUCUUGUAGACAUGUUUGAUGCAGGUAACUACUAGAGUAACCCCAUCAGUGAAGUUACUACUGACCUUUUGCCGGUCAAGAGAGGCGAUCCAGGACGCCCCGUCAUCCCGAUCUCCACCGGCAUGGUGGACUUCCCAGAAGCACUCUGCGACUUUGGCUCUAGCGUCAACAUUAUGCCCAGGGUACUCUAUGAAAAAUUCUUUACAUAUCCUUUAGUAGAAACAACCAUGUGUUUGUAGUUUGCAGAUCAGACAAUAAGUUUUCCAAAAGGAAUAUUGAAGAACCUUUGCGUCAGAGUUGGUACCUUGUACGCCCUAGCAGACUUCGUGGUGAUAGAGACCGGUAAUGAUGAGAGGGCACCCAUCAUCUUAGGGAGGCCAUUCGUGAACACCUCGGGAGCUGUCAUCUACGCUAGUGCUGCCAAAAUCAGUUUCUACAUCAAAGGGAGGAAGGAGACGUUUUUCUUCAAGAACAAGACUAUACAAAUGCUAGAGCAAUCCCGACAUGAACCAAGAAGAGGACCAACAGGAGGAACAGGAACAAGCAAGUGUGGACCGAAUCAGCUAAGAUGGUUACUACAGUUCAUGAGGACAAGAUCAUCGACUUAAGUCACCUUUUCUGACCAAGAAGGAUGACCCAGGAAUGCCAAGCAUCUAUUGCUCCAUAAAUGGAUACAACUUCUACAAGACGACUUGCGACACCGGAUCGAGCGUCAACAUAAUGGCCGCAGUCACCUAUCGGCUCUUGUUCGGAAUCGUGCCCUUAAAACCAACAUACAUUCAGCUCCAGAUGGCAGAUCAUACAUUUUGGGAGGUUAAAGGUAUAGUAACUGAUGUCUCUGUCAAAAUAGACGAUCAUUUUGUCUACACAGACUUUCAGGUUAUUGACAUGGGAGAAGACGAAUACGAUCCACCCGUCAUCCUUGGAAGACCGUUCCUCAGCACUGUUAAAGCAAUCAUCUACAUUGGAACUGGAGAAGUCCAUAUGCACUUCCCCUCAGCGAAGGUACGCCACUAUUUUACUGACCCUAACUAUAUCAUUGAAGACUCUAAGCAGGUCAGAAGAAGAUGACGUAACCGCAACCAGAAGAGGCAAAUCAUCAAGGAUGGAUGGGCAGACUAUGAAGGAGAAGUGAUAAGGUCUGAAGACAUACAGCUUGAACAGAAUUAUCCUGAGAAGACCGUAGCACCAAGUCAGGUGUGGAGAGAGAAGAUAACAAUACACGAAGAAGAGGCUCCACUGAAAGCACCGACUGCGCCACCCAAUGAAUCCCAAGACAACUAGAAAAUAGAGAGUCCCGUUCGGGGGACAUAAAAACACCGAACGCCUUGCCAAGAGGUAAACUUGGUAGUUAUCCUUUCCCUUUAUUUAAAAUAGUUUACUUAGUUAAUCAUGUUCAUACUAUCCUAAAAAGAAAAUAAAAAUGUUAAAAAACAGUAAGCCCCAUGUGAGUAUACGAGUGGCAUGAAACCCAUAAGUACAUUCACUGUGGUGGCAUAAAAAUAAAAUAAAUAUUUCUUUUCUGUUCUAUAAAAUGAAAAUAUAAAAAUAGAGAGUAAUAUUUAUUGAGGAGGCUCAACAUGAUAAAGGCUAGAUAUUUAUGCUAACACCUAAUCAGUUCUACAAAGCUUUGUUGUCUAUUUGAGCUCCACAGAAUUUAAGAAUCAAGAAGACUAGCACACGGAGGACAUUCUAAUCGUUGUCCGGAUACUGCCGACUUUCAAACACCUCUGGUACCUGCUAGCUAUAUCUGAAGAAAUUACGUCAAAAUUCAGCUUGGGGGAGAGCACCCCCAUUUAUCCUGCUAAGUAUUUCUAUCUAUCUUUAUACUUAUACUAUAAUAAAAUAUAAAUAUACAUAACUAUGGAAAACCAAAUAAAGAUUUUGUGCUUAUAUAUAUAUAUAUAUCUUUUGCUUAGUGUGCUUAAUAAAUAAACAAAGUGGCUAUGCUAAACUGAAUCUAAAAAAUAAAACUCUAGCAUGGAUAUGAUGAAUAGUUGCUCUGCCUAAUUUUUCAAAAUUUGAAGUUCUCUCUCAAGUUUAGACAUAACUGUUAUAAUUUAAAGCUUACUCUAAACCUGAACUUGUGGGAGGAGAACUUAAUCUGAAGUCUAGGUUGUUAACGGAUAUGAUAUGGGAAGGUUGAGCUGCUGUUUAUCUGUUCCUAGAGAUGCUAGAAUUCUGGAGAAUUUUAUCUUUGAAAAAUCUUUAAAAUACUACAUGAUGAGUUCCUGUAUGAUGAGAGUUUAAAUUACUACCACAGCCAUAUAUACAUGCUUGCUAGACUUUGAGCCACACAUUUACUUUUUACUACUUAUGAGCAUUGAGUGUGGUCAACCUGUGUAGACCCUUAGGAGCUUGUCAUGUGGUUAAAUCAAGAUUCACUUGCACGUUCACUCACACAUGCUACUUCUACUUCGGAAGUACGCUUCCACAUAUAUCCAUUCAUUUCCAUCUCCAGAACCACCCAAAAAUAUUCUACUCCUAAUCCGGGAGAGAAUAGCCAAAAACAUUUCUGUUUUCCCCUGUUAAAUAAAUGCUCAACUUAUCUUGGUUACUACCACUUGCUAUAUUAUUUCAUGAGAUGAGUGCUCUAAAAAAAACAAAUAUAAAGAAGAUACAAGGAAAUAAAAAGGGGCAAGUGUCCGGAACCUCGAAAGAAAAGAAAAAAGUGAGACGAGAGGAAAAAAUGGACAAGUGUCCGACAGUACAAUUAGGGGUACAAGAUACCCACCUGAGAGGAAUGAAAAACAAAAAAAUAUAGAGCAUCUCAUUCUCCGCACAAAGUUUCAAAGAGCAAGGAAGGUAUGUAUCCCCUCAAAGAGCAAAAGUAGAAUUAGACUUUCACCAUUGUUAUCAUCAUCAUCACCAUACACCAUUCAUUCGCCACACAUGCACAUCUUGAUUUGACUUAUUGGCUUGUUUAUUUGGAUCCAUGGUUUGACUAUGCAAUAAAUGUCUUGUAAGUAUGUAUACUUUAUCUCCCACCUAUGAGCUCCAGAUAUCAAAAGCCUUAUUAGAGUAAGAUGAGAGAGAAGGCAAUGUCACUAUGCCUUAUACUACAAAUACUACAUACUUUGAGAGAAGACAUAUACCAUCACUGCCUUGGUAAGGAUCCAGAAAUACCACAAAAGAGAGAUCUGAGAGAGUCAUACAAGGAAUCUCUGAGUUUUAUUUUAAAAUCUACAAAAACUUCAGAGCUAUAGCUGAUCAAGAAUAAGAGACAUGGCACUUGACUAGACUGUUCUAUCUUUUAACUACUCAAGACAGAAGUGACGGUUACAAGUCCCAUGGUAAAAGGUAAAAUAAAUAAGUUUUAAGUCUUGAUAGUUUACUCUAACUCAGAGAUGAGACCUCAUUUAGAAGCAUGAGUACCGUCAAUUUUCAAAGGCAUUACAACAACUUUUGAACCAUCGCUGAGAUUAUCCCUGCUCAGGGACGAGCAAGAGGUAAGCUUGGGGGAGUUUGUUGACGGUCCUUAAGUAUCAAAUUUAAUUAUCAAAUAAACAAAGAAAAGGAUCCAAAUGAAAUCAACAUCCAGACUUAGGGUUAUAUCUGACAGAAUUCCACAAGUUUUGGUGUUUGUCUAUUUUUGCAGGGGGUUAUCAGGAAAUACGGAAGAAAGGCCCACACGUCGGGAUUACAUAGAGAUAUUAAUGUGCCGUGCAAUUAUCUUACAUCUAGAAGAGUCCAGAAGCCGCGGG